This 62969-nucleotide long non-coding RNA is filed under the name Citrus sinensis (sweet orange). RNAcentral describes it as "long non-coding RNA (CSIN_LNC002596)". Lineage: Eukaryota; Viridiplantae; Streptophyta; Magnoliopsida; Sapindales; Rutaceae. The record is from RNAcentral.
CAAAAAAAAAAAAAAAACCUGCAUUUACACCCAGCUAUUCAGAAUAUGGUGUUCCCCCAAAAUAUUUGGACAGCAGAAACCAACGACUGCCUAGAAUCUGCCUCCUUAUCACAUCUGCACUUCCUAACCAAAGGAGGGAGAUACAUUACGAUUUACCCUAGUGAAAAAAACCCAUUGAGGGGGAGCCUGAUCACCUAUCACUAAUGACCAUGAUACCCUUUUCUAGACAGACAGCUCCACUGCUAGCUAAGCAGGCUCUAGAAAAAAUCUGCCACAUGAGCACACGAUAAUCACACAGAAUAAGCUUCAAGUGAAUUACCUUGAAACUUUUUGACAGAACAAAAAUAAGGUUUCAAUCACUGUCAACUUCCAUUAGUGGGCCAAAUCUUAUACGUGUCUUAAUUGACAAAUUUAUUUGUGAACCAUUUCCUGCCAUAGAAAAUGCCUACACUAUAUACAGCACACAGCUCCUCACAUCCAGUAAGCUAGUUUGAGAAAAUAAAAACUUAGAAAAGUUCUCUAUACUCGACUCAUGCAGGAUGAUACAAUCUUGAGCAAACUGACCAGAUUUAGACAGAACUGUAAUACUCAUGCAAAAGAUCUCCAGAUUUUAAAGAACACGCUUGAGCCCGCACGAACAACAUUAAGGAAAUGUAAUAGUGUAGAGACACCACACAGAGAAAAAAAAAUAAUAAUAAUGUAACACAAUUGUCAUGUUGAAAAUAUUUAGGAUAUUUGCUCUUACAAAGUAGCCACAGAAAGCUAGCAUUUUUAGAAUGUAUUGGUGGGAUUAUGAUAGGAUAUCAAUGGCAAUACAGUAGGAAUUUCAUGAAGCUAUAUUACAUCUAUUACUCUUGUCAUCAAUUACCCUUGAAUAUAGGAAUAUCAUGUUUGUAGGUAAAGAAAACUAACAAAUAAUUACGAUAGAUGAUACAGCAGCAUAUACCUCUGCAAAGUUCCUCUGGUCUGCAGUAAGACGUUUAGUGGAUAAUUCCUUUAAGGUUCGGAAUAGGAUCAUAAAAAUCCUGUGGGAAGUAAGAACAUCUGCUGCUUGAAGCUGCUGUGCUAAAACAGAAAAGAGCUGCGGCCUAAACAAAUCAUUACAUAUUUUUUAUCAAUACAUAAAAUUACCCCAAUGAAAUACUUGAAAAAAGGGACUCUAUGUAUAGCAAUCAAUUAAAACAACAUGAUUUACCGCUCAUUAGGAAAAAAAAGUUCAAAUUUUAAUGCACAGUUCAUUUUCAGUUCAUGUUCUUUUUUUGGUAAUAUAAACAUAAGCCACUAUAAAUCAUCAUUAAAGCAGAUAAGAGCAAAAAGCAUACCAUUCUCUUGGAUAAUCAAAGCGAGCAAUUUUGGAAAUCAGCACAGCUAGCAUUUGAGCUACCUACGAAGAAACAUAUUCGUAAUAACAAAAUUAGCAAACACAGUAUCCAAACUAAAAAAAUCCAACCAAAUCAUAUGACGUGGAGACCUACUAUGCGUGAAUAACAAAAGCUGGUGAAAAGCCGACAAAUGAUUAUAGAAUGAAAUAUAAGACUUAAACGACACCUGGUUGUUUUCUUCUCUCAAGUGAGACAACAAUUUUUGUCUUAAAUGUACUUUCUCCUCAUUGCUUAUUCCCCUGAAAAGAAAUUCUUACAUUACAUUUUACACUAUAAUCAAUAAAAAUACAUCUCUUGUGCCAGCAGAGUCGCACAAAUUCUUACAAAUGAACCUUACAAAAAGUAUAAAAUGAUCGAUAGCUUACACAGAAUCGCGCCUAUUCCUCCAAUAACGGUUGAUACUAUUUUUGAAAUACACUGAAGCCAUCAAUCGUACAUCCACUUGAGAAGCUAAAUCCUUGGCAGUAAUCACUUCCUGCAUUUUAAUUUAAUUCAUUUCAAAAGUUGCUAAGCUUCACAAGAAACUAGAAUAAAAGAACCAAACUAAACUAAAACCCUAAAAAUGAAGGAGUCGGAGCACAGACCAUGAGACAAGAGCAGAAACCAGGUCUACUUUCCGACUGAGAAAGCGCCGCCUCAGCCGGUUUGCGAAUGCUUUCAUCGCGGCUCAUUGAAUUAGCGAGCAGCGUGUAUAUCGCAGGUAAAUCCGAAGCUGAGAGCGCCAUAGCUGUUGUUAAUCAAAGGCUCCUUUACUCACAGUCAGGGAGUAGUACAGAGAAGUACACUUGGACCGAGUUAGUGAGUUGGAUCGGACGAGUUUUUUUACUAAUGAGAAUGAUAUUUAUUAUUAUUAUUUUUUUUUUUUUUCCUUUGUGUGAUAAGAGAUUACAUGAAUCUUGAGGCUUUGUUAUUGUGAGAGUUUGUUAUGAUUGCGAUUUACCUGAAGGAAUAAAAUGAAAAAAAAUGAAAAUGGAAUAGAAGAUGGUCUUUGCUUGAGGUUUUGUCUGCCGUUAUUUAUACAUGGUGGUGUUCCUACACUAGCUUGGGAAGUGUCCCGGGGACUAUCUUGCAUGCGAAGAUAAGUAGGUUCUUUACCGUGCGCGCGCGAUCGAAUGGUAUCAAUUUUUUAUACGACUUAUGACCUUUCAAUGGUAUCCGUCCGAUGAUCAUUGUCUUUCUGUGAUGUUGACAUUUCGACAUUGAAAGUUGACCGAGAUUCCAACCAAAUCCUCGCUGCUCUUUAAGUCUUACCAAUCUCGGCCAAAGGCGCCAGCUGACAUACCGAUAGAUUUUACCAAUAAUGCUUGGGCGAGGGUGGUACUUUUCAUACGGAGAUUAUUAUGUUACGUAAUCAUAUAACAUAUAUGGUUAUAUAGUAACUAUUUGAUAAAAAUUUAAUAAUUAUAUAAAUAUAAAAUAAUAAAAUUAUAUUAUUUUCACAAACGUUGGAUGAAAUUCAACGGUUGUUACAUAAUCAUGUAACAUGUAACAUAACAAAAACUUUUUUAUAUUUUAUUUUUAUUUUUGGAAUUGUGUUUUUGAAUUUAUUGUUUUAAAAUGAAUAUUAGUUGUUUUGAUUUUUAUUUUGUGGAUUAAAAAAUGCAUUUAGUAGCAUGUUUGGAAAUCCAUAAUAUGAAAAUAAAAGUAAUAAAAAGGUAGAAUUGUUUGUGACAAUUGUUAUCAAUAAAUUGCAUUUUAUACGACAUUUUCUUACAAUUAAAUUUAUUUAAUUAUUGUAAAUCACUAUUUAAAGCAUAAUUAUUUUUAAAAAAUAAAAACAAAUUGUAUGUGUGUCAUUUCUAAGUUUCUAGAAAACAGUCUUUUAGUAUUUCAGUUUUCUUUUUAUGAAAUAUCUCAACCAAACAAAGUCUUUUUGUUGUUUUUAAUUUAUAAAAAAUAAAAAAUAACAAAUUUAAGGAAAGUUUUCUUUUUAUGAAAUAUCUCAACCAAACAAAGUUUUUUGUUGUUUUUAAUUUAUAAAAAAAUAGAAAAUAACAGAUCUGAGGAAAGAAAUGGAUAACGGCAUCUAAAUAUAACUUUUAACUCUUAAAGUCGAACUCAAGUGGAUAACCAAACAAAAAUGCUAAAAAUCACUUAGUCACGCCUCUUUGAGCCAAAUUUAAAAAAUAAAUUAAUCACCUUUAAAAGAUGAUCCAAAUAACUUGUUAAAUUUUUCAUUUUCAUUUCAAUUAAAUGUGUGAUAAAGUGGAUGGUAUUUUAAAUUGAAGGUCGUGUUAUGUUAAAUCAGUGUAAAUAAUAUACUUGGCCAACAUGAAUUGGACCUAUUCAUUAGGUGUCAUGAGUUUGCACACUAAUCAUACACAAAGACGGCUUGUUUAACUAAUUUACCUUGUACAGAUUUUUAAACCUACUUAACACAUGAUGUACAAACAAAUUCAUGUCAUAAACGAAUUAACAUGAUAACAGAUUAAGAUUACUUAAAAAGCUAUUUGGUAUUAUUCAAUCGAGACAUUGAUUUAUGUUUCAAUCAUAAAUCCAAGUUACAUGCUCAUGAUUCUUGGUCAUACAAAUAACAGAUUGUUGAUAACAUUUAAGAGUUUUUUUUCUUCUUUUUUUCAUGUACUAAUAUUAGAGAUUCCAACAUUUAAGUUUCAAUUUAAUAUGUAUUUAAGAUUUUUUCCUCUUUUUUUCUGUGUAAUAAUAUUAGGAAUCUUCGUGUUUAAGUCCCAACUUGAGCUCAAUAUUAUUUGUACUAAUUUAUUAAAUUAAUUUAUUAAAUGAUAUAUUUUAUAACUUAUAAAAUUACUUAAUUAUCAUCUAAUAAAUGAAUAACACAUCAGUUAAGAAUUAAAUUAGAACUUAAAUAUUAAAAUGUCUAACAUUUCUUUUUUUUUUUUUAUGAUGAAUGUUUACAUGCUUAGUUAGAGAUUUAUCGUGAUUUUAAAUUCAUACUUCGAUAGCAUUACUCAUGAUAUAUGUAUGUAUGUGUAUGUAUUGUGAUUUUAAGAAAUUUUGCAACAAUUAAAUGUGAGAUACACUCUCACUCUAUUAAAGAUAAUUUGCCCCAUCUUUUGCUUGAUAGAGUUCAUUCAAGUGAGAAAGCCCACUUAAAAAUGAUUUUCACAUGCCAUUAGGAAUAUAUUCUCUUAGAAGAACCUCUUCUGGUAAAAUAAAAAUAUAAUUUUUUUAAUAUAUGUUUUAAUGAUUAUUUGAUUAAGCAAAAAUAAAAAAUUCAAAUUAUUAAACUGUGAAUUACUAGGAGAAAACUAUGGUGCAACAAUGGUACCAUACCACCGUUGUACCUAGCCGUUGGAUUCUAAUGAAUUCAUUCAUUCAAGUGGAUCCAACAGCUGAAUGCAACGGUGGCAUGGUACCACCGUUGCACCGUAACCGGACCCAAAUUACUAACUGUCAUGAUAUUUGUGUGAAAUAUUAGAUUAUUAUUAUUUAUUUAUUUUAUUAGAGAAGGUGAAAUAUUGGAAUUUCGCUGUCAUAAAACAAAGCUCAAUCCAACGGCCACAUGCGGAACGUUCAUUUGGGGCAUAUUCAUACAUUUAAAGCCUCCUUUUGUUAGUCUAUAUAUUUGUGUAACAAAUUGUCUCUCAACUGUAGUAAAUAAAAGCUUGUAAAAACUUUGUUCGUACUUUAAGUACUUUUCUUCUGUAGGUUUUUUUUAUAACCAAUAACUUCAAUUUAAGGUAAAGCAUUUGAAUUGUUAUAGUAAAAAAUGAUAUAAUGAGUAAAUUUACCUAUUAUCUUGUGAACAAUUGCACGCGUGAUGUCAUUGUAUAGUAUAUUUCAAGUGCUAUUAAAAAUAUGGUUUUACAAGAUAUUAUCACAUGAUAGAAUUGUGAUAACAUGAGCAGUGUCUCGUAUUAUACUGUUAUUAUAACAAUAAUAAUAGAGAUUUUAAUAUUUGAGUUUCAACUCAAGUUCUGAUAUUAUGUGUCACUCAUUUAUUUAGUGAUAAAUUUAAACUUGUUUAUUAUUUUAUUUUACUAUUUAUUACUCAGUACUCAAAAGUUGCCUUUGCCAGUGGCAGUAGUAAUUUGCAUUUAGUAAAAUAAAUAUAUUAAUUUUCAUUGAUCUAAAAUUAUUCUUGAUUAUCUCAAAAAAUACCAGUAGUGUCCUCCUGAUUUGAUGCAUGGAGGAGGAGUGCAACCCUAUAAAAUGGAGGAGUCCAACCCCAUAAAAUGACUUUCUUAAAUAGAAUAAUGGUGAUGACGGAAAAAACUAAUCUUCAAUUUAUUUUUAUUUUUAAAACGUUAGUGUUUGUGAGUUUUGUAAAAAGAAAAUCUGAAGAAGUUGUUGGUAUUAAUUACUGUAAAAGAAUUUUAUUUAUUAAAAAUAUAUUUUUGACAUUAAGUGGAGUGUAAAAUGUAAAAAAAAAAGUUUUAACAGGAUUUGGGAGAGGUGACAGGUGACAUCAGUCCAACUCUGAAUAAAAUGACGUAAAAAGUGGGCCAGCUAGAGGAGAAAACACGGAAGAGCUUUGGGCCAUAUGUAGUCCAAUUCAUAGCCCAAAAUGAAUUGGAUCAACAAAGGCAAGAACGUGUAAAGCAGACAGGUGGGCGGCGAUGAUUUCCCAGAAUUGUACACAUAAAAUCUAGGGGUGGGCACGGUUCGGUUCGAUUCAGUUCGGUUCAAAAUUAAGUAGAACCGAUUUAAAUCGGUUAUUUUAUAAAAAUAACUGCAUAAGAACCGAACUAAAAAAGAACCGAACUCAAACGGUUCUUUUCGGUUCGGUUUGGUUUUUUCGGUUCUGGACCUAUUGGGCCUAUUUUGAAUUUUCAAAUUUUUAACCCAUUAAACUUCAUAAAUGUAAUAAUUUUUUUCAACAAGUUCAUCCUAAUUUCAUUAUAAAUAUUAACAAUAAAUACAAAGUAUUCAAAACACAUUUUAUCAAUAAUAUCUUAUUAACUAUUAAUAAAUAAUUAAAUAAACAAUCUAUAUAAUAAGAUGCUAGUUUUAAAAAAAAUAAAGAAAACUUACUGGUAAGCAACAUCAAUCAACUAUCAUUUACUCUUCAGCUACUUGCUGUUGUUCUUAAGAUUGCAUUGGCCUCAAAAAUUCUUCAAGAAAUUGAAAUUUACAAAAUUUAUGAAAUUGUUUUAUAUUUGAUUUUAGGAUUUAUUUUGGGAAAUAAAAAUUUACGAAAUUGUAACACUAACAUAUAUAUAUAUACUCUGAUUGUGUGUAUGCAAGUUUAUGUUAGUUAUCUUAUAUAAUUAGUUAAAAAUUAACACAUAUUUAAUUUAAUAAAAUUUAGUAGUGUCCUCCUGAUUUGAUGCAUGGAGGAGGAGUGCAACCCUAUAAAAUGGAGGAGUCCAACCCCAUAAAAUGACUUUCUUAAAUAGAAUAAUGGUGAUGACGGAAAAAACUAAUCUUCAAUUUAUUUUUAUUUUUAAAACGUUAGUGUUUGUGAGUUUUGUAAAAAGAAAAUCUGAAGAAGUUGUUGGUAUUAAUUACUGUAAAAGAAUUUUAUUUAUUAAAAAUAUAUUUUUGACAUUAAGUGGAGUGUAAAAUGUAAAAAAAAAAGUUUUAACAGGAUUUGGGAGAGGUGACAGGUGACAUCAGUCCAACUCUGAAUAAAAUGACGUAAAAAGUGGGCCAGCUAGAGGAGAAAACACGGAAGAGCUUUGGGCCAUAUGUAGUCCAAUUCAUAGCCCAAAAUGAAUUGGAUCAACAAAGGCAAGAACGUGUAAAGCAGACAGGUGGGCGGCGAUGAUUUCCCAGAAUUGUACACAUAAAAUCUAGGGGUGGGCACGGUUCGGUUCGAUUCAGUUCGGUUCAAAAUUAAGUAGAACCGAUUUAAAUCGGUUAUUUUAUAAAAAUAACUGCAUAAGAACCGAACUAAAAAAGAACCGAACUCAAACGGUUCUUUUCGGUUCGGUUUGGUUUUUUCGGUUCUGGACCUAUUGGGCCUAUUUUGAAUUUUCAAAUUUUUAACCCAUUAAACUUCAUAAAUGUAAUAAUUUUUUUCAACAAGUUCAUCCUAAUUUCAUUAUAAAUAUUAACAAUAAAUACAAAGUAUUCAAAACACAUUUUAUCAAUAAUAUCUUAUUAACUAUUAAUAAAUAAUUAAAUAAACAAUCUAUAUAAUAAGAUGCUAGUUUUAAAAAAAAUAAAGAAAACUUACUGGUAAGCAACAUCAAUCAACUAUCAUUUACUCUUCAGCUACUUGCUGUUGUUCUUAAGAUUGCAUUGGCCUCAAAAAUUCUUCAAGAAAUUGAAAUUUACAAAAUUUAUGAAAUUGUUUUAUAUUUGAUUUUAGGAUUUAUUUUGGGAAAUAAAAAUUUACGAAAUUGUAACACUAACAUAUAUAUAUAUACUCUGAUUGUGUGUAUGCAAGUUUAUGUUAGUUAUCUUAUAUAAUUAGUUAAAAAUUAACACAUAUUUAAUUUAAUAAAAUUUAAAAAUAAUUCGAUUUUUCGGUUCGGUUUUUCGGUUAAGUUAAAUGAACCGAAUACCGAACCGACAUUUCAAUUUUUUUAUAAAUUAUACCGUUCAGUUUUUUUAAAAAAAAAUCGUACCGAAUUAAAAAAAAUCGUCGGUUCGGUCGGUUCGAUUUUUUUAAGACUACAAUUUUUUUCCCACCCCUAAUAAAAUCUGUUUGCUAAAAUCCUAUUGGUCGGUGUGCGUGGGAUAUCCUGAUGGUUCCACGUCACCCAACGGGAUGUAGAUCCAGAAGUAUCUGGACUUUCUCGCCCUGGGAACCUAUAAAAACAGCCUCUCUUUGAUUUCAAAUCUACCCCGUCGCUAUUGUUAUUAAUUGUGAUCUUUUUCAUAACGCACUUCACUCCGUUCAAUAAUAAACCUCUAAAAUCUGUAGUGAGAUGCAAGGUGCAAAAAUGAAGGUUCGUUUCGCACUAUCGAUUUUUCUGUUUUCAACGCUUUUGAUCUUCAACGCGAAAGCCAAAACCGUCGAUCCGUACAAGGUAAUUAUUUUUUUUUUUUCUUUUUUUUUCCACUUGCUUUUUUUGCCUUUGGCUGUUUAAGUUUCUUUAAUGCGCAUAAUUGUCCAGUUUUAAUGUUUUUAUGAUAUGAUUUUUUUUUUUUAUAAUUUUGGUGGCAGUUUGUUUUCACAAUGCAUUACUGUAUAUAUGAUUUUCAUAACAACAGUUCCUCAGUUUUGAGAGAAAAAUUGCAAAUUUGAUGAUCUGGUUGAAAGCUAAGCUCAGUGGAAUUUGUUGUUAUUUAAUAUUUGCUUUAGAAAAAUCACAAAUUGUUUUCAUUGGAGCUAAUGUCGGCUGUUGAUGUUAAGUGACUUGGUGCUGUGAAAAUUUGGCUGAAACAACAUGAAAUUGUCACAUAAUUGGCAGUUAAUUGUCAUCUCUAGCUCUAAAUUGAACUGGAGAAUAGUUGUAUGGAAAUUUAAUUCAAAAUCAAUGAACAAAUAUUUUCUCUGUUGUUUUCUGUUCAAGAGGAUGGCAUUAUUUAGUUUAACUUUCAUUUAAUCGGAUAGCUUACUUACGAAUAAGAUUCAUUAUUUAGUUUAACUCUCAUUUCAUCGGAUAGCUUACUUACGAAUAAGAUUCAUUAUCAGGUUCUUGGUGUUGAGCGGAAUGCGAGCCAGCGUGAGAUUCAAAAAGCUUUCCACAAGUAUGUUAUUAUUAUGUCCCUAAUUCAUUGAAUUAUUCGAUCAUUUUGCAUUCCUUGUGUCUCACUUUCUGUCAUGGCAUAAGAGAAACUUAAAGGAUCCUACUUGAUAUAUAGAGUUUAUGAUUGAUAAUGUGAUUAGAAUUAGCAAUGGAUGAGAUUGAGCUAUCAAAUUAUUGCUUUAUUUAAAUCUGGGAGACCUGAUGAAGAGUAGGCCACAUGAUACUGACCAAUUGUGGUACUCAAGAAUGGCUUGAUUUUCUGUUAAUAGCAGGGCAGUGCUGCUAUGUGGUUGUGAGCAGUAUACACUUCUUGUGUAUGCUUAUGGUUGUAUAUUUGUAAUGAUAUAGUAUUGAUAUUUUUUAUCUGUUUUUCUAUUUAAACUUUUUUGACCUAUAAUUGGCAUUGUUAAACUAAUAAAUACAGAUUUGACAAUUUACAUUGUAGUUGGUAACUUUGCCAUAUUGAAUGAAGUGCAUUUGACUCAUUUUGGUGCUGGUGAAUUACUUUAAUUUUUCAUGUUUGUUCUAUAUUGAUUUCUAAAUAAUUUGUAAUUCCGGUCGAUUAAUGGGAUUGUGUUAGAUUCUUAACGUUGUUGAAUUCCUAUGUAGAUAAACCUAUCUUUAGUUGCAAUCAUGAUAUAACACAAUAUAGUAAACACAUAUGAAAACACCUCAGAAAAUUGCUUUGCUAUCUUGUUACUAAUGGUUUCUUUGAAUCUCUCUUGUAGGCUCUCUCUUCAAUAUCACCCGGACAAGAACAAAAAUAAGGCCGCUCAGGAGAAGUUCGCUGAGAUUAAUAAUGGUAAAAAAAAUAAAAAGCACUUCUUUUUUUGUUUGUUUUAAGAUGCAGGCUUCUUAGUAUUCAAAUUCAUGAAGUUGAAUCGACAAACUUUCAACCAUCAGAUAGAUGAAUGAUUUAUUGUGAUUUUUUUAACCUUUGUUCUUGUUUUCAAACUGUUCACUGUAAACAAUGUUGAUUUAUGUCUUCUUGUUUCAUCAGCAUAUGAUAUUUUAUCUGAUGAAGAGAAGAGGAAAAAAUAUGAUUUGUAUGGGGAUGAGAAGGGCAGUCCUGGAUUUGAUGCUGGGCAUCCUGGGAAUCAAGGUGGGUAUACAUACUUCACAAGUGGUGGACCGGGACAAAGCCAGUUUACCUCUAGACCUGGUGAAUGGCAGAAUAUGGGGGGGCAGGGAAGUUCCCGGAGCUUUUCGUUUUCCUUUGGCGGUACUGGUGGUUCAAGUUCAUUUGGUUUUGGUCUAGAUGAUAUCUUCUCUGACUUUUUUGGCAGUAGUUUUGGAGGAGGACGCCAAUUUGGUGGUUUUAGUGGUUCAACUGGUUCUCAGUCUCAAUCUAGGAGUUCCUCUGGAAACAUCAGAGCCUUAAAUUUACAGGUCUUCAAGAAAGAAAUAGUGGAGAAAGGAAUGACUUGGCUUUUGUUUUUUUAUUCACCCUCCUCGAACAGGGAUGGCUAUGAAUCUGUGAUUGAGGAAGUUGCCAACUCAAUGGAAGGAGCUUUAAAGGUACUUAACUACUGGUCCAUUUUGGUGUGGUCUCCCUAUUUGAUCUUCUGUUGAUCGUUUCAAAUCUUACGAUCCUUUUGCUGUGACAGGUGGGAAGCAUAAACUGUGAAACAGAAGCAUCUUUGUGUAAGGAAUUAGGUGUUCAUCGCCCCAGAUCCCCGAGGAUUUUUGCGUAUUCAUAUAAAGCUGGUGACAAGGGUUCUUUAGUUGAGUACAAUGAGCAUUUGGUUGCAAAGAAUUUAAAAAGCUUUUGUCGAGACCACCUUCCUAGAUUUUCAAAACGGAUCAGCCUCAAUCGUAUUGAGUUUACUUUUGAUGCUAAGGCAAGAUUGCCAAGCGUGUUGCUUCUUUCCACCAAAAAGGAGACGCCCAUCAUUUGGCGUGUUCUCAGUGGCAUGUAUCAUGAACGAUUGAAUUUCUAUGACACAGAGGUAUAUUAUGGUGCUUACUGACUGGGUUUACUCUAGGAAACCCUCCUGUUUAAAAAUGUUUUUUGCCUUGUCAUUCUGAAAUCUUGGAAUUAUUGGAUUCUUUGUUUCUUCAAGGAAAAUAACUUGGUUCUUUCCUACUCUUUAUGAAUGAAUUUAUAAUUGCUAUUGUUAUGUUUAUCUAGGUUCAUGAUGUUUCUGAUCCAGCAGUAAAGAAGCUAGGAGUCGAUGCCCUUCCAGCUAUUGUUGGCUGGUUAUCAAAUGGGGAGAAAGAUGUUCUAAAAACAGGGAUAUCAGUGAAAGAUCAGAAAUCGUCAAUUCAUGAGCUCAGUAAAUUACUUGAUGGUUUUGAAAAAGAGAACAAAAAGGCAGCUUCCGCACGGGCUAGCAAAUCACAUAGUGAUUCAGCGGAGGAGCAGAUACCUCUGUUGACGCGCUCAAAUUUUGAUACUAUAUGUGGGGAGGCAAUUCCUGUUUGCAUUAUAGGUGCUUUCAGGUCUUCGAAUGCAAGGGGGAAGCUGGAAUCCAUAGUAUUAGAUGUAAGUAAUAUCAUCUCUAGUUGAUGAAUUUUUGCAGAAGUUGGAAAUCAGAAGCAGAAUUAUUGUUAUACUUUAUUUUGGAGAUGAACAUGGAGGAUGGUCAUGUUUCUUAAGCAUCAGUCAGAAUCUUCAUAUGUCAUUACUUUUUUAUUAUUUUAUUACAACAAUUGCAUGAGGGGGGAAUCCUAAAGAGUUAAAAGAAAUUCAAGUGCACUAGUUGACGCUUAAGAAAUUAAGUGCUGUAGGACUUCUUAAUUGGUAAAAUACAUGCAAUUCCAGAUUAUUGUUGUGCCAUUGGUUAGAUUUCUUGUGAUAGCAUAAGAAUUUUCAGGGUUGGGGGAAACAAAGGGAAAAAUAAAUAAUAAAAUACAUCCAUUUUUUAGUGGGUUUGGGUUGAGGUUUGUUUUAUGUAUUUUGUUCUCUUAACUACAAAGUCAUGCCCAGUUGAAAAAUUAAGCAUCUGCUCUGUAAACAACCUCGCUUACCAAAUUUGCAAAUUGAUCCAUAACCUUAGUUGCUCCUUAAUUUAAAGGCUUAUCUGAUAGUGUCUACGUGUUUAUGGGAGUUAUCUUUCUUCAGGAAUAUUCUUGAAAUUUUCCUGCGUUUACAUCUUAAAAGUUUGAAAUUCGAUUCACCGACUCUCAUUGUUACAUGCUUUGCACUUUCAGGUCUCUCAGAAGUCACUGUCUCGGCAUCAGUACUCUGCCUCUGGCUCUAGAAAUUCCAUAACUUACGCUCUCUUGGAUGCCGCCAAGCAGUCAUCAUUCCUAAGCGCAUUUGACAAAUCAGGAUUCAAAUCAUUGGGUAAAUUCUUGGUAGCCUAUAAACCCAAGAGGGGAAAGUUUGCAGUUUUUGCAGGUGAAAUGACCCCAGAGGAAGUUGAGAGAUUCAUUGGUUCUGUUCUUAAUGGAGAUGUACAAUUUUCUAAGACACGGCAUAAGCCUUUGAUCAAGUGAGAGAAACAUAAAUGGAUUGUGUUAACGGAAUGUGGUUUAUGAAUGUACAUAGCAGAGAGACUAGAAAGAAAUAUCGAUACAAAUUUUUUAUCUUCUAAACCUUGGCAAUGGUGCAAGUAUCUGGUGGUUUUGAAGGAGAUGCUACCAGGGUUAAUCAAGUGUGUGUUUUAGAAAUUUGAGUAACCGAAAAUUCAACGCAUUGGAGAAUUUUUCCGUGGAACAAUAGAUUUUUCUCAGAUGCACUUGCAUGGCUGUAAGGACUUUGUAAUAUUAUUCAUUUUUCUCUGGUUGAAGGAAAAUUUUUAAUUUCCUUUUUCCGUGUAAAGAGCAGUAGGCAGUUGCUGUGGGGUGGGGGGGAUAUUAUCAAGGGUGAUUGGGUGAUUCCUCUAUAUCUCCAUCCAAAGCUGAAGCCAACUGUACCUACUUAAUUACUUACAGUUUCCCCAAAGUAGUCAAUUUUGAUUUUUGAUUUAGGAAAAAUGAAGAUAUAUUUAAGAUUGUUAGUAAAAUCUGUGUUCGGUGUGAGCUACAUGACAUGUAUUUGUGUGACAUAUAAUAUAUUUAUUUAAGGUGAUGUCUUUAAUUUUUGGGACCUGAUUGACAUAUUUCCUCAAGGUUUACUAAUAUUUACAUGUUUAGUAUUUUAUCUUAAGUCUAUUAAUAUUUAUAAUCCGCCCGCAUUAGUUGAGAGAUAUGACUACUUAAUUUUUAAUUAAAAAUAAAUAAUAAUAAAUUUUCAAGUGGCGUCAUCAUAGGAUCUGUACUCAUUGUAUUUCUAAUAAACAGGGAAAAUUAUCAUUUGUCCAUCCGUCCAAAGUUUUAUUAAUGUUUGAACUUUAAAAAAUUUGAAUUAGUCCUGCAAUCUACUCAAAAUUUACAAAUUAUAUAAAUUUUCACCUUUCCAGUUUCCAUUACUAGUGUUUGAUCAUUUUAUCUCUAAGGUGCAAUUUAAGAAUGGAUGGAAAAUUGAUUUUUUUGCAAUCAUUGGGUGAAUUGUUGCUUUCUGUAUGUGAUGUUAGCAUGUUAAUAUCCAAAUUAUUCUCCGGACAUCAUCUAAAGUUAACGCCUGUUAACUCUGUAAGGUAAAAAAGUAAUACAAUUUAUAAAUAAUGGCUGAACUGUUGAAUGAAUUCAGAAUAUCCAAUAUUUUUUAAUAUUGACGAAAUAUCGAGUGAAUGAAUUAUAUAUUUUUUUCCUACAAGAUUGAAUAAAAAUUUGUAAAAAUAGUCAAGAGUAACCCUACUAGCACUCCUCUAUUUUUCUUAUGAAACCACCUUUUGUUAUGUGCUUAUUAUUUUAUCCUUUGUGUUUUAAUUUGUAUUAAAUCUAAAAUCUUGCUAAUUAAAUCUAAAUAUGAUUUUUCUCUCCACCUCUUUCUCCAUUAAAACCUUUUAAAAUUUAUUUUUUUGAAAAAAAAGUUAAUUGUAAAAGAAUAAGAAUUUGAUCUAAACUAUUUUUUUCACUUUAUUUUCAUAUAAAUCAUAUUUUUUGAAAAUUUUCAUAAAUUACUAAUUUUGUUAGGAUGUUAGGAAACGAUCAGCAUUGUGCGUAUCAUAUUUAUAUUUGAAAUGGAAUGUGAUAAGUGAAAAAGCAUAAACCUAAAAUAAAUGAAAGUUAGUAAUAAUAAAUUAAACUUAUGGGACUCAAAAUAUUGGGUUGCGAUCAACAAUUUUUUGCUACAAAAAGAAGAAACUUGAAUGAUGGGGGGUUGAAGACAGAAAACUGAAAGGGGUUUGCAAUUAAAUAGAGAGACUAGGGUUUAUUGAAGAAAAAACAAACAAAGACUCUGAAAAAUUAAAGUGGAUAAAAACAGAAGAGCGGGUUCAAAGGGAUAAUGCAGCGGUGCUAAUAGCACUACUCAAUAAUCAAUCCAUAUUAUCUCUAAACCUUUAAUAAAACAGAAACCCAAAAUCAACUGAACUGAAAACCCGGCCCAUGAUUAGUACAAUCUGGUGGUGUUAGCGUUUGGCGACGGGUUUUUUAAAAUAAAAGAGACUAAAAGCAAAGCACUGCGCCACCGCCAGCCAACGCGCUGCUUUAGCUUCUGGAAAGUGUCGUUUUAGUAGGUCUUGGUCAAGUAAGCUUCUUCUAUGUCCAUUUUUUAUUUAAGCUUAGUUGCUGUGUACUGUUUUCAUUAUACUCUUUGUAUAUUGAUGUGGGUAUUAGCUGCUAAGCUGUUUCCAUUCAGACAGUACAUCAAACAUGUUCAGUUAAUACCUUCCCGUUCGGUUUCAGCCCUCGCCCAUUUGAGGCUAAUCUGUUCAGAUUCUGAAUUAGAAGAGUCUAGUGUGAAUAACGAGCAUAAUGAUGAAAUUAAAUGUAGCUUUUCUUAUUUAAAUACAAGGGAGGUAGUUGAAAAGUUGUAUAGUCUUAGAAAAGAACCCAAAAUUGCAUUAUCAUUCUUUGAACAGUUAAAAAGGAGUGGGUUUAGUCAUAAUCUUUGUACUUAUGCAGCGAUAGUGAGAAUAUUGUGUUGUUGUGGUUGGCAAAAGAAGUUGGAGUCUAUGUUAUUGGAACUUGUUAGGAAAAAGACUGAUGCAAAUUUUGAGGCUACUGAUUUGAUUGAAGCGCUUUGUGGAGAAGGGUCAACUUUGCUGACACGACUUUCGGAUGCAAUGAUUAAGGCUUAUGUUAGUGUGGGAAUGUUUGAUGAGGGUAUAGAUAUAUUAUUUCAAAUUAAUCGGCGAGGAUUUGUUUGGUCAAUAUGUUCAUGUAACUAUUUCAUGAACCAGUUAGUUGAGUGUGGGAAAGUUGAUAUGGCUUUGGCUGUUUACCAGCAUUUGAAGAGGCUGGGGUUGAGUUUGAAUGAAUACACAUAUGUUAUUGUAAUUAAGGCCCUUUGUAAGAAGGGUAGUAUGCAAGAAGCAGUUGAGGUGUUUCUGGAGAUGGAAAAAGCAGGGGUAACCCCAAAUGCUUUUGCUUACUCGACUUGUAUUGAAGGGCUUUGUAUGAAUGGGAUGCUGGAUUUGGGUUAUGAACUGCUCUUGAAAUGGGAAGAGGCAGACAUUCCUUUGAGUGCCUUUGCUUACAUUGUUGUGAUACGUGGGUUUUGUGAUCAGAAUAAGCUGGAAAAAGCUGAAUGUGUGUUGCUUCACAUGGAAAAACAAGGGGUUGUUCCUGAUGUGUAUGCAUACAGUGCUUUGAUUUCUGGGUACUGCAAAUUUGGGAAGAUAAAUAAAGCUUUGCCUCUUCACCACGAAAUGACAUCAAAGGGUAUUAAAACAAAUUGCGGGGUAUUGAGUGUGAUUUUAAAAGGCUUAUGUCGAAAUGGCAUGGCUUCCGCAGCUAUAAAACAAUUUUUGGAGUUCAAAGAUAUGGGGUUUUUCCUUGACAAGGUUUGUUAUGAUAUAAUAGUGGACUCUUUAUGCAAACUUGGAGAAGUAGAAAAGGCAAUGAUACUGUUCAAGGAGAUGAAGGAUAGGCAGAUAGUUCCAGAUGUUGUCAACUACACAACUAUGAUUUGUGGUUACUGUUUUCAAGGUAAGCUUGGUGAUGCUCUGGAUUUAUUCAAGGAAAUGAAGGAGAUGGGACAUAAACCUGAUACUAUUACUUAUAACAUACUUGCUGGUGCGUUUGCUCAAUAUGGCGCUGUGCAAAAGGCGUUUGAUCUUUUGAAUUAUAUGAAGAGACAUGGUUUGGAACCUAAUUUUGUUACACACAACAUGAUUAUUGAAGGUUUGUGCAUGGGAGGUAGGGUGGAGGAAGCUGAAGCAUUUUUAGACGGUUUAAAAGGGAAGUGUUUAGAGAACUACAGUGCCAUGAUUAAUGGUUACUGUAAAACAGGUCAUACAAAAGAGGCCUUUCAACUAUUUAUGAGGCUGUCUAACCAAGGAGUCUUAGUGAAAAAAAGCUCAUGUAAUAAACUACUUACUAAUCUUCUUAUCCUACGUGAUAACAACAAUGCUCUCAAGUUGUUUAAGACAAUGAUAACUCUGAAUGCUGAACCCAGCAAAAGUAUGUAUGAUAAGCUCAUAGGUGCAUUAUGUCAGGCGGAAGAAAUGGAACAGGCACAAUUAGUGUUUGAUGUUUUAGUUGACAAAGGGUUAACUCCUCAUCUCAUUACCUACACAAUGAUGAUACAUGGUUAUUGCAAAAUAAAUUGUUUGCGUGAAGCUCGUGAUGUUUUCAAUGAUAUGAAGCAGAGAGGGAUCACUCCUGAUGUUGUAACUUAUACAGUUUUAUUUGAUGCUCAUUCAAAAAUAAAUCUAAAAGGUUCUUCUUCCUCGCCAGAUGCCUUGCAAUGUAAAGAAGAUGUGGUGGAUGCUUCAGUUUUUUGGAACGAGAUGAAGGAAAUGGGAAUAAGACCUGAUGUUAUAAGUUACACUGUUUUGAUUGCAAAGCUGUGCAACACACAAAACCUUGAAGAUGGUAUUACAGUCUUCAAUGAAAUAAGUGAUAGAGGACUGGAACCUGAUACUGUCACAUACACAGCCCUUUUAUGUGGCUACCUGGCAAAGGGAGAUCUAGAUAGGGCUAUAGCCCUUGUUGAUGAAAUGUCAGUCAAGGGGAUACAAGGAGAUGAUUACACCAAGUCUUCAUUGGAACGUGGCAUAGAGAAGGCCAGGAUAUUGCAAUAUCGGCAUUAAGCUGUAUGUUCAGUCUACGUGGGUAGAUGGACCAAACUCAUCUGCUGAAUCAGGUGCUUUAACAUAACAGAAUUUGUAUCUGCCAUUAAAUAGAAACACUUAGUGACAUUAAUUAUAGUGAGACCUUCAAGCACCAAGAUUUUCACCUUAAAGGCUCUUUUCAGAUUCAUUUGCACACUGGUCUAUUUUCUUAUUGGAUUCUGCUUUCAACUUAACAGAAUUCAACUUUUAAAAAAUCUUUAUUAGUUUCUUAAAAGGGCUAGCAAUAAAGCAAAAUAGCAUACUUAUUUGGCUACGAGGAUAGUUGUGUUUCCCUUCUGUAUAGUAAACUUACUGUUGGUGUCCUAGAUAAUGAACUUUAAAAAGUACUUUACAGCGUGAUUAUGCUUCAAAUAUGCCAUUGUUUAUGCUUAGUGAUUUACGCUGAUAGUAAAUGCUAUUUUUUAAAAUGCAGACCUCAGAUAACAAUUGCAACAGCAAUAAUAUUCAGUCAUCUGUUCUUCCUUCUGCAGUCGCUUGUAAGGAAUAAUAGGUAGGUGAGUUAUCUUCUUGAGCUAUAUUUAAGUGUUGUUUUUCUUAUCAGAGCCCGGUGGCAUUAGUGCCAUAACAUUAUUUAAUAUGAGUUAUUGAUAUAUGGUAGGAAACAAAGAAGGCUUUGGAUGUCAAAACCUACCCUGUCCAUGGUUUUGGGGCACUCUGGUAUUGAGUAGUUUCCCUGAAAUCUCUGUUUUUCAUCAUACACUGGCUUUCUAUACCUCUUCCAUUAUGUAGAUAGAAUACUGAAACUGCUGAAAUAUUGUUAUUGCAUAAAAAGGCCAAAAAAAAAAAAACCUAUGAAACUGUUUGCAGCAAGUUGGGCUUUUUGCAGUGACCACCUCAGAGAUGUGAAGCUUGUUUGCAUAAUCGUGAAGUACCAGUGUUAGGACUGCUUUGGCUGACUGGAUGUUUUCAUAAAUGCUGGGCAUGAAGUAGUAUCCUAAGAUGAGAGUUUAUCGCGAAAAUGAGGGUUUGGUUGUAUGUAAGUGUGGGUUCAGUUUUGUGUUUGUUGAUGAGAGCAUAGAUUGAGAAAUUAGUCAAUUACUUUUAUUGAAGCUUUUAUUAUCUACAAUGAGGAACUACUUAAAAUAGUUUAAUUAGUAUUUACGUCUGAUGUAGGAAGUAAAAUUGAGUUUUAGAAUGUCAUUAUGCUGAAAAAAAUUGACUGCUGGUGUUAGGAACUAUUAUUAGUUUUCUUAUAACCCAAUAAAAGUAACCGUGGACUAUUAAGAAAAAGCUUCAAUUGGAAAUUUGAUAUCAUGAUUUACCAUUUUUAAAAUUAAUACUGUUAUUAUUUAGUAUUUCUUAGUUUCUUCAAUAUCUUGGAUUUCAGUGUUGAUGCUGGACCUGGACUCUUGUCUCUUGCAGAAGUUCCCGACGGAUCACUGCAGCAUGGAGUUUUCAAGGGCCGUUGAUAAAUGCUUCAUCUAGCUGUGAAGUUAUUCAAUGGCAAAUAGUUGUGGACUGGAACCUUAAAGCCUGCACCAGCGUAACCAGUUUCUGAACACCCAGUAGCUGACAAUUAUUGGUGGACUCCAAGAAUCGGCCAAAGUCGGUGUAAUGACUGGGGAAGUGCAGAGUUGGAACUGCUACAAUAGAUGGUAAAUGCCUAUGGCAAAUGACGAGGCCUCUACUACGCUUCCCUGAGAGUACUGGUUCGAUAUCUUUCGGCUUCCAACCUCGUAAAAAAAUGAACGGCAAGGAGUUCUCUUUGUCAUAAACACUGUAGCUAGUGGGGACAUAAUAUAAUAAAUUACAAAUAUUAAUGUAAAAAGUAUAUUAAUUUGUUAUUUUGAGCUUUUUAUAACUUAAUUUAUUUUUUAUUUAUAAAUUAAAAAGACUUAGUCUCUUAAUCAAGUUAAAUCUACGUGCCCUUUAUAUUUUUGAGUUCAUAUUCAGAUUUAAUUUAUACGAAUUGAGUUUUUAUAAACUCUAAUAUGAAUUGUAUCGAAUCAAAACACAUUUCAUAAUAAUACUUUGAUGAUCCUUUUCUCCCUUUCUAAACAAAUAGUUCAUGAGGAAAUCAGUAUCAAUGAAUCUUGAGCCCUUUUAAGAAUUAGUGGUAAACCAUUAAAAUUCUCGAAAAUGACCAAUGAAAGCACAUAUCCUAGAACUUUCGAAUUUUUUCGGAGCACUUUCCAUUUUAUAUUUCACAUUUCCUAUCGGGUGUUACACGUAUGUGGGUCCCGAUGUAAUACAAUUUAUACCCACCCACGAGAUCGUGAGGGGGGAAUCCGACAGAGAUCUCGUUUGGUUUGGGUUUAGAUCAUGAAUCCAUAAUCGACACGUGAUUUCAUUGUAAGAGCAUCACCGUCAACAUCGCGGGAAGUGGAAACACCUUUAUUAUUAUUUUAACACCAUCCGAUUUGACCUUUUUCCCCUAGGCUAGCGGCGUGAUGUGUGCUAUUUGAAAUUCGACCACCUCUUUGGCUCUUACUUUCUAGUCCUUUGCGCUUGUGAUUACAUUUGAGAGAGCUUUGCUGCCACGCAUUACCGAGAAAAUGUUAAAUAAACUAAUCCAAAAAAAUAAAAUAAAAUCAAUUUUCAAUUAGGGUGUUCCGGUCCGUCUAAGCUUACAGUAGUUUUAUUUGAAAGCGGGACACGAGGGUUGAAACUUGAAUAUGGUUAUCUCUAGAAGUUAAGUUUUUGAAAUAUUCUAUGGCGAAACAAAGAAAAAAAAAACUGACAAUAUCAAACAAGACUGCUACAUGUCGUUACGCAUUGGACCUGGUUGGUUACUAUUACAGGCAACGUCCCAGAAAAAUUAACCUCAGACCACCUGCUUUGACCCGAACGCACUAGCCCCUGCUCGAGUAUUUCCACCUACUUUGUAAUGUUAUCACCGAUAAGCAACGAACAUAACUGAAAAUGGAUGGCUCAAAGACUUUGAGCAAGUGCCUCAUAAGUUAGAUUUACCCACGGAUUGUCGAAUUCACCCGGUGUUUCAUAUUUCCUUACUCAAACCUUAUGUGGGAAACUCCUCCAUUGACGUUUAUUCACAGCCUCCAGGAAGUGUGGAUGGAUAACAAGCCCCUUUCACUACCAAUUGCUAUAUGUGCUGAGCGAAAGAUACUUCGACAAGGUAAAGAAAUUCUACAAAUUUUGGUGCAAUGGUCUGAUAGCUCACUAGAAAAUUCAACUUGGGUUUACUUUGAGGAAUUUCGUAAACUCUAUCCUUGAGGACAAGGUACGCUUUCAAGGAAUGGGGAAUGAUACGACUUGGCCCAUUGCUGUGAAUCAGAUCGAGCUCAAGGAGAUAACAAGGGAAGAACCCAACCUACAAAAAUGGAAGAAACCCAACCCUUGAAUGAGACUCAAGCUAAAGAGCAGCUCAAGACAGGUCCAGCUCGAGCAAGAAAGAAACCAGGAUGGCUCAAAGACUUUGUUAUUUGAAGAAAGUUCAAGAAUAGUACUUUUAACUUCAAUAUUUGAAGAAAGAAACCAGGAUGGCUCGAGCAAGAAAGAAACCAGGAUAGCGUCAAUUUAAUAUUAAUAUUUUUUCCUUACAAGGUAAAAUGCCAAAUUUCCAAAAUAGUACUUUUAACUUCAAUUUUUUUUUUUAUUUUAUAAGAAAUUUCUUAUUUUAUAAGAAAUUUCUUUGUUUCUAAAUACUUUUAACUUCAAUUUUUUUUUUUAUUUUAUAAGAAAUUUCUUUGUUUCUAAAUUAUGUAUGAAAACUAAUUUAUUAGCAUGAUUAUCCAUCAUCAAUUAAACGAACAAAAUAUAUUUAUGCCAAAUGAUGAUUCGCUAGUCUUGUGAGAGAUAAUGAAAGCGGGUCACUACAACUUGUAGUUGGUUCCAUGAUUUUUUUUUUCUUCCAAUCUUGGCGUUUGGUAACCAUUUUCCGUUGACUCCUAUUAAUGUAAAAAUAUUUACCGUUGACUCCUGUAUUGAAUAUAUAAUAAACACAAGUAGAUUUGAGAUACCAUGAAUCCAUACAACAAUUUAAUAAUUCAUUCAUGAAUAUAUUCGGGUUGAAAACUAACAAAUAAGUGGAAAUCUUUUAACAUAAAAUUCACAUGUCAUAUUUUCAUUAGAUGAUUUUAUUAUCUAGUAUAUAUACUUUGGAUUUAAGAAAAAUAUCCGUAUUAUUUACUCUAAAGAACAUCAUGAAAAGACUUUUCAAAUAAUAUUGUUAAAGAGAAAAGAGUACUAUCUCAUUUAAAUAAUUUUUAUUUAAAAAGUUUUUGCAGGCUUCAUUUAAUAUUAUAUUUUUCUAUCUUCUUAUUCUUGAAGAGAGAUAAAGUGUUAUAAUAUAUUGCUAUUAUUUUGGUAGAGAAAUUUUUUUUAUAAAUAUAAUAUAAACUUAUUUUUAUUAGAGUAGUCUUUUAAGAGAUGAUUUAUUUUUUACACUUUUUUGUUUGCCGCAUAAGUAAGCAAAUAAAUAUUUAGAGAAUUAAAUUAAAAGACUCUUGGUUCUGCUCUAAACUUUUUAAAAUAUGUCUAAACGCGACACUGUUUUUAUAAGUUAUUAUAAUGUUAACUUUAUUAAUUAUUUUACUAUUUCAUCCUUUGUCUUCAAGUUCGGAAACAUAAAUAAAAUAAAAUAACUUUUAGUAAACAGAAUUAUUAUUAAAAGUGUAAAAUUAAAAAAAAGUGAAAUUAAAAUUUGUAACAAAUAAAUAUUAGUAAAAAAAAUACAAAAACAAUCAUUUUCAAAUUUCUCAUCUCAUCCGUCUCAUGGUAAACAAUACAAGAACAAUCAUCCUCAACUUAUUAUAAUUUAUAAUAUUUCCAUUUAUUUUAUAUAGUAAUUGUGUAAUUGUAAAAGAAUAGCUUCUCUCUUUAUUUUGUACAUGGUUAGAAUGAAUAAAAUCAUGACUUUGUUGUUUAAUCAUAUAAUAUUUUUGAACAAAGAAGAGCAAAAGAUCAAUCAUGAUUUUAACACUGAAAAUUCCUCAUUGAAAAACGUUGUCCACGACCGAGUUACUGAUAACGGCCGACCUUCCGCCCUCACUCUCUCACACUAGCCAAGUGGCACAAUGGAAAAGAAAAGUUGGCAUCGGCUAGAGGUUUCAAGAGUCAUUGUGGAUUGGCCGACAGCUCGUAUGCACCUUAGGAAAGUAGGAGAAAUUCUAAAAUACUCCUGAUAUAUUACAAUCAAUUGAUGUAUGCAUGUCAUGUGUAGUUGAAUUUAAUAUAACUACCACUUACAUGAUGAUUUUUUAAACUAAAUGCACACAUGUCAUAACAUCAUUUACUUAUUAUAUGACUGACGUGGUACCUCUAAUGUAUUCUAGAAUUUCUCGCGUAAGUAGACGCGACAUGCGUGAUGCGUGGAUAACUCGAAUCAACAAUCAAUCAAUUUAUUGUUCCGCAAGUCUUACUCAAUUGAGAAGACUAGUCCACGCAUAUAGUGAAGUCGCUAGCAGAAAAGAAUAGGAUAAUAAAAGACGAAAGAAUACUUUGAGAAUGCACUAUAUUUCCAUUUCUUUUUAACUUGAAUAUUUAUUAUCGUUUACAUGACUUGACAGGCUUGUUAUAUUAUUUUAUUUAGCAAUCACAUGGUCAUUGUCUGCACUACACUUUGUCUAGUAUUUCUGAGUGCUAGCUGAGUCACAAGUCACCUUAUCAUGUUUGUUGAGCUUGCCUGUCUUGCUUGAUAUGCUUUGUUCUAACACCAGCUGUUUCCUUGGAACCAACUCUCAAAGACUCUUACUACUUUUAUAAGGAAGUCAACCUCUCGAUUGUAAGAUAAAAUUUUACGUGGAUAUGAAGGCAGACACGAGGGGACACAAUCCUUUUUUGAAUCGUGAUUGAGAGAAAUUUUAGAAUACAUCUGUUGUACCAUAUUAACCAUACAACAAGCAAAUAAUGCAAUAACACGUGUAUUUAUUUUGUAAACUAUUACUUAGUGGUAGUUGUAUUAAAGUCAAUUACACGUCAUACAUGCAUUAAUUAGUUGUAAUACAAUAUGUAUAUUCUAAAAUUUAUCAAUGAUUGGAUACAUUAAAAGUUAUUGGCCCGCAAAAGGGAAAUGUCCUGCUCAAUUAGAUGUUAAUAUGGCUAAUGUAUUUUUGGAAGCAAUGAAAGCUCUUCCGGCAAAGCAACUGCACUAGCUCUAUUUACUCUAAACCGUAUAUUGGUCGCUGAUCUCUCAUUGCUCUAGAUAUAUAAUGGGUUUUAAAAUUUUGCUUGGUUUCGUUUCUUACAUGCUUCUGAGUAUCAUUCGUCUUACCUCCGGUCAGACAUGCUACGAUACAGGAAACUUCACCACUAAUAGUACCUACGGUAAGAAUCGGGACCUGUUUCUCUCAUCUCUUGCUUCUACCGUAACCGCGAACAAGGGUUUCUACACUGCCACCAUUGGCCAGAUUCCCGACGAAGUUUACGGUCUUGCACUCUGCAGAGGAGAUUCUUCUCCAGAAUCAUGUGCCAGCUGCCUGAAUUUCACAGUUCUUGAUAUGAUGAAGAACUGUCCGAACCAAAAAGAAGCAAUUUCAUGGGAAGGAAUGGAUUUUCCUUGCGUUGUCCGCUAUUCAAGCCGCUCUUUCUUUGGAAAACUAGAGCUGAAACCCACAGAAAUCGCCCAUAAUGUAAAUAAUAUCACUUCAAGUUUGACACAGUUUGAUCGGAUCUGGAGGAGUUUAAUGGAUCGCGUACUGGCAAAAGCUUCUUUGGGCACUUCCAAGCUCAAAUUUGCAACUGAUGAGGCAAAUUUGACAAGCUCUGAAACGAUAUAUGCACUAAUGCAGUGCACUCCAGAUAUAUCCCAGAGUGACUGUGAAUUUUGUCUACGUCAAAGUAUGGCUGAUGUGCAGAGUUGCUGUUAUGGGAAGAAAGGAAGUUAUAUUAUGGGACCCAGCUGUAUAUUUCGCUGGGAAAUGUAUCCAUUCUAUGGAGCUACUGCUGAUUCUUUAUCGCCAUCUCCUCUGAGUCCACCCAGUACUACUACUGAUACGACAAUCGCCAAAGGUAUUUUCACGCCCGCCGCCGCUGUUAGUAUCUCACUAAUAUCCAAUCUCGACACGAGUUAACAGUCGCGCAUAUCUUUAUGAUUUAUUUUUGCAGACAAAGGCGGCAAUAGCAUUUCAUCUGGAACUGUCGUAAUCAUUGUUGUUUCUACGAGUACUUUCAUCAUUGCACUUGUUGCUUUGAUCACUUGUGUCUUUCUACGAAGGAGGAAGAAGAAGCAGAAGCAGAAUCUCAGAAAAGGUUAGUUAAUUAUGUGUUUUCUCCCCUGUUAUUAAAAGGUAAAAUUUUACAUAUGCUACAACCAAUAAAACGACUUCCACCGAAGCAAAGAAACUAAUAUGCUGUCAUUAGAAGUUGCCCGUUGUGUUCUUCUUUAAUAAAGAUUUUUUUUGAAAUUGUUAUUAAUUUUGUACAAAUCUAUAUGCUAACUUAUCACUAUUUUGAAGCCGAUGAAAUCAAUACUGUGGAAUCCUUGCAAUUUGACUUCAGCACCAUCAGAGAUGCAACAAAUAACUUCUCCACAGAUAAUAAGCUUGGACAAGGUGGAUUUGGUGCUGUUUACAAGGUACUUGAACCAUUACAUGAACGUCGAAAAUAAUACUGAUCGUUAGUGCAAAUCAUUUGGCACUUACCCUGUUUUGUUUUGUUGGUAAAAUGAUUUCAGGGAAGGCUUUCACACGGACAGGAAAUAGCAGUAAAGAGGCUGUCUAAAAAUUCGGUUCAAGGAGAACUAGAAUUUAAAAACGAGGUCCUAUUGGUGGCCAGGCUUCAACAUAGAAAUUUGGUUAGGCUUCUAGGUUUCUCCUUUGAAGGAACCGAAAGGCUUCUCAUCUAUGAGUUUGUGCCUAAUUCAAGCGUAGAUAAAUUUAUAUUUGGUAAUGGUUGCACGUUUCCUUUUAAGCUUUUAAAGAUAUUAUUCCAGUUAUCCUAAUUCACUCAUAUUGCACUUUGUUGUUUAGAUGCUUAUAUAAUAAUUAAAAUGAUCUCGUUAAGGCAGAUAUCAUGAAGGACCCUAUUAAUCCCCACUGAAAUUGAUAGCAUCUAUACAUAAUUAAAUUCUCUUGACAUCGAUGCAAAUUUUCAAUGCAUCAAAUGUUGCUAUUCUUGUUUGUGUAAUAUCUCCUGUAGCCUGCUGUUUAUUACCCUUUUGCAACCAAAAUUAUAAGUUUUGUGGCUUUUGUAAAUUGGUAGAUGCAAUCAAGCGCGUGCAACUAGAUUGGGAAACUCGACACAAAAUCAUUGGGGGUAUAGCUCGAGGAAUUCUUUACCUUCACGAAGAUUCAAGGUUACGGAUCAUUCAUCGUGACCUCAAAGCAAGUAAUAUUCUUUUAGACGCAGACAUGAUUCCAAAAAUUUCAGACUUUGGAAUGGCAAGGUUGUUUGAAAUGGAUCAAACUCAAGGCGAUACAAGUAGAAUUGUCGGGACCUUGUAAGUAUACGGAGAUUAACUUCAGAUUGUUCAUUUUAUGUUUGAAGUCUAAAAUUAUAUUGACAAUUUUUUUUUUAUUAUUUUCAGUGGUUACAUGGCUCCAGAAUAUGUAACUCGAGGACACUUCUCCAUAAAAUCUGAUGUUUUUAGCUUUGGUGUGUUAGUCUUGGAAAUCAUCAGUGGUCAAAAGAAUAAUAGUUUCCGUAUUGGAGAGGAGGCAGAGGACUUACUGACUUACGUAAGUAAUAAUCAUCAUAUAUUAUACGUAAGUCUGAAAUGUUAAGAGAUCAAACAAAACAUUUAACGCCGCCGUUGUAUUUUUCUCUAGGCAUGGAAAAAUUGGAACGAAGGAACAGCUUUAAAUCUGAUAGAUCCCACACUGAGGAACGGUUCCAGUAGUGAAAUAAUGAGAUGCGUCCACAUCGGAUUGCUAUGUGUUCAAGAAAAUGUUGCAAAUAGACCAACCAUGGCUUCAGUUGUUGUCAUGCUUAAUAGCAGCUCUCUCUCCCUGCCACUACCUUCGCAGCCUGCAUUUUUUAUGCACUCUACAAUGGAGCAGGAUAAUUUGGAAUUCACCUCAUCUGAUCAAUCUAAAAGCGGUUCCAUUCAUUUUACAGUCAAUGAAGUUACAAUUAGUGAGCUAGACCCUCGCUAACUUUCAGGGACAUAGGCUCUAUCUUUAAGCAAGUUUGUACUAUGAUAUUUUGUUGUAUGAGAUGAAUUUGGAUAGAUGCUAAUCUUUUGAAGAUUUUGUGUGAUUGCGUAUUGUUAAUUACUUAUAGAAGAUAAUUGAGAAUUACUUACAUAUAUAUUCUUAUCAAAUUAACUAAACAUCACAACUUUGUAUGUAACAAGAGUAGUUUAAAGAUUAUAUCAUCAAAUCAAUGUAAAUCUUGUCCCAUAAAUGACUUUGAUUUUUGUCUUCAACAAAAAAUUAAUACAAAGUUCAAAAAAUAUCUAAAGUGGAAGAUUGAUUCCAUGGCAACUAUUCAUUCCUUUGUUCAAGUUGAAUGUUAACAAAAACCGUGGCCAAAAAUCACAUACAAUUUCUUUAAUCUUUACUUUGUUUCAAGCACUCCCAUAACAAUCGCCGUGUGUUUCGUUAAAAGAUUUUUAUUAGUCUUGAAAAUCAGUGAAUAUAAAAGAUUUUAUAUUCGAGCUAACUAACUAAAAAAAUAAUAAUAAUUAUAAAACAGGGAAAAUAACGUAGCAGAUAAGAUUAGCUGCAGUAUGCUCAGCAUGUUUACCUAACGGCAACUAAUGCUGAGCUGGCACUUAAGCAUACCAACAGCGGACAUGGUUGGCACUUGGUCAAACCCACGGUGACCUAGCUUCCUUGACACGUAUUAAUAGUACGAAAAUGCGACUGAAUGCUGAUAAAUUAAUUAAAAAUAAAUAAAAUGUUGACACGAGUAGACUUUCGGUUCGCGAAGUCAAGUCAAGCCAACUAAUUUUUCACUCGAGUCAUCUCAAAAAAAAAAAAAAAACAAAAACAAAAAUUUUCAGUUGAUCAAGUCUUUUGACACCCCUUUAAAUCCCAUAUAAAACUCAUCUUUAACUGAAAAUUAUUUAAAUAAAUAAAGAUAAAUUCAUUUAUUUUUUAUUUUGAAUUAAAAUUCAAUCAAGCACAUAUACAAAUUAUUUUUUAACAAUUUUUACACCACUCUAUUUCAUAAUUUAUAUUUAUAUUUGAUAUUUUAAUUAAAAAUAUUUUUUGAGAAACUUUUAAGAAUAUAAAAUUAUGAAAAGAUAUUAUAUAACAAAAAAAAAACUUAAAAUUUUAGUAUUUAUAUGCAUUUAUAAUUAAAGGCUCUAAAAAAAUAUUAUUUUCAAGGUGAAAUUUAAUGAAAAGAUUAAUGAUUUUAGUUUAUGGAAUAGUAUUUUAUAAAUUAAGUUGAGAAUACUUUAGGGAAUAAAAUCAAAAGGGACGAUAUAAGGCUUUUUGGGAGUGUUAAAAGCUCCACUAUUUUCAGUUUACUCAAGGAAAACACGAAGCCCACCCUAGGAGAGCCCAAUUGGCCCAAUUAGCCAUUGCCAACCAGCAUGCGCAUAUAAUAAGCAAGCUGCCCCUCUAAAUUGGAAAACUUUUUUUUUUUUUUUUUGUUUCUGCCCCUCAAUUCUCUUGAGUUUAGAUCAUGAUAAAUUCUACCGAGGCGAAGCCAAGAUUUUUUUUUUUUAAGUAUGCUAUAAUUAAUUUUAGUCAAUGUAAUAAUUACGACAUUUUUUAUUUAAAAAAAAAACUAAACGUCAAUUAUACAUUUAUAAGAAAUAUCUACUACAAAAAUGAUACAUGAAAUGUAUCCAAUAGAAUAACUUGUAUCCUAUACCUAAAAAAAAAAAGAAAAAAGGACAAACACACCCCCCAACGUUUAGACAAAGGGAUAAAAACUCCCCUAAAGUUUCAAAAAAGAUAUUUAUACCCCCAUUCACUAACGGAAACCAUUACUUUUAACGGAAAUAGUAAUUUUAAUGUAUAAUUACCAUUAUACCCUUAUAGCAUAUAAAAAUAAUUAUUGAUUGUCCAUUUUAAGUCUUUUGACACCCCUUUAAAUCCCAUAUAAAACUCAUCUUUAACUGAAAAUUAUUUAAAUAAAUAAAGAUAAAUUCAUUUAUUUUUUAUUUUGAAUUAAAAUUCAAUCAAGCACAUAUACAAAUUAUUUUUUAACAAUUUUUACACCACUCUAUUUCAUAAUUUAUAUUUAUAUUUGAUAUUUUAAUUAAAAAUAUUUUUUGAGAAACUUUUAAGAAUAUAAAAUUAUGAAAAGAUAUUAUAUAACAAAAAAAAAACUUAAAAUUUUAGUAUUUAUAUGCAUUUAUAAUUAAAGGCUCUAAAAAAAUAUUAUUUUCAAGGUGAAAUUUAAUGAAAAGAUUAAUGAUUUUAGUUUAUGGAAUAGUAUUUUAUAAAUUAAGUUGAGAAUACUUUAGGGAAUAAAAUCAAAAGGGACGAUAUAAGGCUUUUUGGGAGUGUUAAAAGCUCCACUAUUUUCAGUUUACUCAAGGAAAACACGAAGCCCACCCUAGGAGAGCCCAAUUGGCCCAAUUAGCCAUUGCCAACCAGCAUGCGCAUAUAAUAAGCAAGCUGCCCCUCUAAAUUGGAAAACUUUUUUUUUUUUUUUUUGUUUCUGCCCCUCAAUUCUCUUGAGUUUAGAUCAUGAUAAAUUCUACCGAGGCGAAGCCAAGAUUUUUUUUUUUUAAGUAUGCUAUAAUUAAUUUUAGUCAAUGUAAUAAUUACGACAUUUUUUAUUUAAAAAAAAAACUAAACGUCAAUUAUACAUUUAUAAGAAAUAUCUACUACAAAAAUGAUACAUGAAAUGUAUCCAAUAGAAUAACUUGUAUCCUAUACCUAAAAAAAAAAAGAAAAAAGGACAAACACACCCCCCAACGUUUAGACAAAGGGAUAAAAACUCCCCUAAAGUUUCAAAAAAGAUAUUUAUACCCCCAUUCACUAACGGAAACCAUUACUUUUAACGGAAAUAGUAAUUUUAAUGUAUAAUUACCAUUAUACCCUUAUAGCAUAUAAAAAUAAUUAUUGAUUGUCCAUUUUACCCAUAUUGUUAAUAAAAUUACAAACAUAUCCUUAUUGUCCAAUUCUUCUAUUUAAAUUGUCAAAAUUUCUCUUCAAAACAAACAAAUUUAAUUAUUAUUCAAGAAUAAAAAUAAAUAAGUUUAAAUUUUUGUCAAAUGUAUUCUUCAAAUUAAAUAAAUUUAAUUAUUAGUUAUUAAUGCCAUAAAAAAUAAUAAUUUCAUUAUUAUUUUCCACAAUUGCAUAUAGAGUAAUUUAUUGUUUCCAUAUAUUGUAUAAUAACAUGAUUAGUUGAAGAAUCUGACUUAUUUCCAUGCAUCGGUAAAUUUAAUCAUUACUCAAAGAAUAAAAAUAAAUAAAUUUAUUUUUUUGUUAAAUUUUUUCUUCAAAUCAAAUAAAUUUAAUCAAUACUCAAAAAUAAAAAUAAAUAACACGAGUCAUAUGCCAUAAAAAUAAUAAUUCUCCACAUGUCAACCGAAAAAAAAAAUGGUUACAACAAUAAUCACAAAAUCUUAAUAGUAGUAAAUAUUGUAUCAAAUUGGACUAAUAAACAUUACAAUAAUAACCAUAAUAUCUAUAAAAAAAAUCUGUUCACAAAUUUGUAUGACAACUCUGACUAUUAGCCUGUGGACUUCCUCUCAUAACUUGUGUGGUUGUUGCUGCACAAUUAAUAUAUAAAUAUUAGUAUAUAAACUUUAUUUUUUCAUAUAACAACCAAAAGAUAAAAAAGUAGGAUUACCUGAGGGGUGUUGAGUGGAAUCCAGUGGCACAUUUUUGCAUACUCUUUUAUUAUGGCCGAAAUUGGUACAAUUACCACAUCUUUGCUUGGUCUUUCUUUCCCCUUGUUCCCCUGGCUCUCUUCUUCUUACUAUUUUAGGCCUACCAACUCUUGUUUUGACAUAUGGAAGUAACACUUUUAAACCUUCAACAACAGCCCAUGGACUUUGAUCUGGAAGUGGAUGUAUGAUACUUGCAUAUGUGGCCAAAUAUGCUGCCACUGUCAGUUUUUUGUCCAUAUAAUCAGCAGGAUCCUCAUGUAUUUGAGCAAUACAUGGCAUGAUAUGUUUACAUAGUAUCCCACAAAUUUAAUAGACACCACAAUCACAAGUUUUAUUCUACAAAUUAACUAAAAAUGUUUUAUUAUUCACAUCCAUUACCUCAAAUUCAUACUCACUAGCCAUAAUCACCCUUACAAAUCUUCCUUCUUACCUAGAAACAUUCAACUUUCUCCUCACGAUUGGAGGUAGCUUCCCAAUCUAUUUUCUUGCAUUAGAAUGCCUUUUAUACAAUCUUUUCAUAACUUUCUUCCUAAUGAAUUCCAUAAGUGUCAACACAGGCUUGCCUCUGCAUUCAUUUAACCAGCUGUUCCAUGACUCAAAUAAGUUGUUGGUUACAUGAUCAACUUUUACAUCAUCAGGAAAUGCAUGUUUGGCCCACUGUUUCUUGUCAAUCUUGAUCAAAUAAUCAUAAGCAGCUUGUGUGUCUUUUUUAGCUGUUUUUAUUUUAUUCAUGUUGUCUUCCCAUUCAUCUGCACUAGUGGCUCUUGCUGCUGCCCAAAAUAGGUUUCUGUAGAUGAUAUCAGGAUGAUUACUUCUUAAGUUAGCAAAUAUAUGUCUGGCACAAUGCCUCACUGUUGCACCAUGCCAAUAUGCUUCUAAGCCUACCAAUAUUCCUUUUUGCCUAUCUGUCAUAAACGUCACUUGACUCUAAUUCUCUAUGUUCAAACACUCACUCAAUAUUGCCAAAAAACCAUUUCCAACUUCUAGCACAUUCUGAUUUGCAAAUACAAACAAUAAUUGGAAAAAUUCCACUGUUUGCAUCUAAUGCCACAGCUGACAAUAGCACACCUCCAAAAGGCCCUUUUAAAUGACAACCAUCCAAUCCAAUAAACCACCUACAUCCAUUGAUGAAUCCAUUCUUCAAACCAGCAAAGCUAAACAUAAACCUCUGAAACUUCAAAGCGGGUCUUCUAUCUUUAUCAAAACUAGGCACAAAUUUCAUCUUUACUAACACAUCGAGAUUUCUCUGUUUAAGUAUUUGGGCAUAAUCCCUUAGCCUCGGAUAAGAAUGUACAUAGUUCCCAUUUAAUUUAUCCAUUGCUCUUUUUUUGGCCCUAUACAAUUUCUUCAUGCUUGCUUUAGUCCCGAAAUUGGAAAUCAACAUCUUUAAUUGCCUUCACAGGCAUUUUUGGGUUAUUCUUCAAAGUUCCCUCAAACUGAGAGGCUAUCCAUUUAUAUGAUGCCUCUUUGCUCUCUAACACUCCAUGACACUCAUGUACAUCAUUUAGCUUUUGAAUUUUGAAUUUUAUCCCAGAUUCUACUUGUGCUGCAUAAAUAAACCACAGAUAACCCUCAUUCGAGCACUUUGCUCUCAACAUUCUCUUCUCAUUCUUGAUCUUGUUAAGAUCAAACCCAUGCUUAAGAACAUAGUUUUGAAGUACUCUUCUGAAAUGUUGGACAUUGUCAAACUCUUGCCCAACAAUAAAUCCAAUCAUUUCAUUAUAGGUUAAAUCUUGAAUAAUGAAAUGAAAGCUCAUCUUCAGAUUCUGAAAGCAGGCCAUGUUCUCUAUCUUCUGACUCACAAUUGGAAAGAAUUCUAUCUCCUUCUUCACUAUCUUCACAAUCCACUUCUUCACCGCCUUCAAUAUGCCCAACAUCCACUCCAUCGUCAUCCCAAUUUAAUUCAUAUGCCGGUUUUGAAUCGUCAAACAUGCUUAAUAAUGCUUCUUCGUUUGGUAGUAUCUCCUUUGUUCUAGAGGGUAGAGGCUAGAGGCCAGGCAAUUGUUCAACUUUUAAUUUUCAUUCAACCAAUAAUGAUGAGAAAUACAAGGAAAAAAAAUGUGUCGUGUUAAGCUCCCAAAUAAACUCAAAGUUGGCAUCCCACGUCCAGUUAUUGAUAGCAAGGUUUAGGUUUUUUAAAAGUUCAUUUAAAUUUAGACGGAUUUGGGCAGUGCUUGAGCUAGGCUUUCUAUUAAUUUUAAAAUAAACUUUUAGUAAAAUUAAAAAAAAUUGAAUGAAAAAUAAUUAUUCAAUACAUAAUAGAAUAAUAAUUUAAUACACAGAAUAUUAAUAACAUAACAUAAUAAAUUAUAAAUAUUAAUGUAAAAAGUAUAUUAAUUUACUAUUUUGAGCUUUUUUUAACUUAAUUUAUUUUUUAUUUAUAAAUUAAAAAGACUUAGACUUUUAAUCAAGUUCAAUCUAUGCGGAUUUUAUAUUCUUGAGUCCAUAUUUAGAUCUAAUUUAUACUAAUUGAGUUUUUAUAAACCCUAAUAUGAAUUGUAUCGUAUCAAAACACAUUCCAUAAUAAUAUUUUGAAUUUUGAUGAUCCUUUUCUCCCUUUCUAAACAAAUAGUUCUUGAGGAAAUCAGUAUCAAUGAAUCUUGAACCCUUUGAAGAAUUAGUGGUAAACCAUUAAAAUUCUCGAAAAUGACCAAUGAAAGCACAUAUCCUAGAACUUUCGAAUUUUUUCGGAGCACUUUCCAUUUUAUAUUUUACAUUUCCUAUCAGGUGUUACACGCGUGUGGGUCCCGAUGUAAUACAAUUUAUACCCACCCACAAGAUCGUGAGUUGGGAAUCCAACAGAGAUCUCGUUUGGUUUGGGUUUAGAUCUUGAAUGCAUAAUCGACACGUGAUUUCAUCGUAAGAGCAUCACCGUCAACAUCAUGGAAAGCGGAAACACCUUUAUCAUUUUUAACACCUUCCGAUUUGACCUUUUUUUCCCCAAGCGGCGUGACGUGUGCUAUUUGAAAUUCGACCACCUCUUUGGCUGAUUGGCUCUUACUUUCAAGUCCUUUGUGCUUGUGAUUACAUUUGUGAGAGCUUUGCUGCCACGCAUUACCGAGAAAAUGUUAAAUAAACUAAUCCAAAAAAAUAAAAUAAAAAAGUUUUAUAUUUCAAUUUUCAAUUAGGGUGUUCCGGUCCGUCUAAGCUUACAGUAGUUUUAUUUGACAUUUUACCACCUUUUUUUUUUUGGUUGCAUAUUAUUAAUUUUUCGUUAAAAUUUUUAAGUUGUUUAUCGCAUAUUUCAAUAAAGAGUUUGUUUUAGUCAGACCCUAAAUUAAGAGGUCGGUCAGGCGCACCAACCCCAUUACUCGUACGACGAUAAAGAGUAAAAUUUUUAGGCUCGCGAGAAAAAUUAAACUUAAAAUCUCAAUACAAUAAAGUGUCAGAUCCCAAACCUUCAAUCAAUUAAACUACCCUUUACGAGAAAGGUCAUAAACAUAAUUUCACACACACAUAUAUAUAGCCAAAUAAGAUCGAUAAAAAUGGCAUGGUAGUUUCUACUCCCACGAGCUUAUAACCAGCAGCAGCAGCAGCAUUGAUAAAUUAAAAAAAAAAAAAAACCCCAAAUAAUGAUAGCUUCAGAUUUACUAAUCUUCAUCUGACCAAUUGAAUCGUUGGAUUGUUUAUCCAGUCGUUUACAUUUUUUGAGUUUUACAUUUUACUCUUGAAGAAAAGAGAUCGUAGGAGAGCUUGUUGACCGAAGCAUGGCAUUGGGCCGUACGGUUAGCGUUGGGCGCGAGUCAAAGGAAAGCAGCCUUAUUUCUUGUCUCUUGACUUGUCCUAAUUAGUAAUUUCGGCAGCAGUGGUUUUGUAGCGGCGAUCCUCACCGACAAUUACGGGCUUCGUGUGCAUGCAACCCACAUGGCGCAUGGUUCGUUCUGCCCCCUCUAUGUCAGAAAAUUAUAAUUUUGGGAUCGGGAUCUUAACUUACCAUCAGCAAAACCAAAAUCAAAAUCAGUGGUCUAAACUUACAACUUGCUUCUGACUUCGAACGGCGACGUUAAGAGCUUUAUUGGGCAAAUGGCCAAAUGGGAUUGUUAUUUAUUUAUUUAUUUAUUUAUUCAAAUCACGAAACGAGGUUCAAAAACCAUGGUACAUCUGGACUGUUGACGCGUUUGACUUGGACCCUUUUCUAUUUGCAUUUGGUUUUCGCUAGAAUCUUUACAAUUUUGAACCGCAAGAAUAGCUUCUAAUUAUUGAUCAAGUUGUAAUCAAAUAAUGAUGAUUUAUUGGUUGAUGUAUUCUAUUUGCAUUUGGUUUUGGCAAGAAUCUUUGCAAUUUUGAAUCGCAAGAAUAGCUUCUAAUUUUUUUUUAUGAAGUUGUAGUCAAACUUGAGACCCAAGGAAAAAAAAAAUUGUGCCAAAAAUGGAAUGACGUAGAGGAUACAGGAACCUUAUAUAUAUAUAUAAGAGAAAGUUUAUGAUACAUGUGAGGUAAUAAAAGUCGAAUUUUAUGGUAAUAGCUCGAUUCCAUUUAAUUUUAAUUAAUUAAAAUAUUUUCUUAUAGGGCCUACCAAAAUAGUUUUUUUGAAGUUUUAAUAAUUUUCUAGUACUUCCCAUUCGAAUCCAACAUGCUCACUUUCUAGUAAACCCUUAAAAAAUAAUAAUUUUUUUUAAAAAAAACUUUCCUCGUACAGGAGAAAACCAUUGACUAGGAUAAAAUAACACUUACACCCCCCUAAUUUAUUGCCCUUCACAAAAUCGCAUUAGUGGAGCCCGGUAAAAAGAUAAUAGGACCUAUGAUACGAAAAUGAAUAAACUAUUUGCAAAAGCGUAAAUAUCUAGGGCCUCAAUUAUCAAUUUCUUAUUCCCCAAACAAAAUCUUUCCCUCGAAACCGCCCCUGGUUUCAUGAUACAUAGAUUCAUAGCAGUAACAUUCCGUUGCUUGCUCCCAGUCACAAACUCACUAUAAAAUCUCUCUGGCAAACGCCAAUUUCAUUCGUUCAUCGAACACUUGUCACACUCUAGAAGUUCAAAAAAAAAAAAAAACAUUUCUCAAAGACACUUUUCGGAAACACAUUAACAAACGGACAAUUCUUCGUCUCCGGCCCUUCAAUCAAUCAUGGACACUAAAAUUGGAUCACUCGACACCUGCAAGCCCCCAUGCAGCGACUUAGCCAGCCCGCCAAACGGUGCCGUUUCAACAAUCCAAUCCUCCGUUCCCGCUACUCCACUCGUCAACCCGUCCGAGUCGACCCUCGGCCGCCACCUCGCUCGCCGGCUCGUCCAAAUCGGCGCCACCGACGUCUUCUCGGUCCCCGGCGACUUCAACUUGACGCUUCUCGACCACCUGAUAGCCGAGCCCGGGCUCAACUUGAUCGGUUGCUGUAACGAGCUGAAUGCCGGAUACGCUGCCGAUGGGUACGCUCGCUCGCGUGGGGUCGGCGCCUGUGUCGUGACCUUCACCGUUGGUGGGCUUAGCGUGCUUAACGCUAUCGCCGGUGCUUACAGUGAAAAUCUGCCGUUGAUUUGCAUCGUUGGUGGCCCAAACUCCAAUGAUUACGGAACCAACAGGAUCCUUCAUCAUACCAUUGGCUUGCCUGAUUUUAGCCAAGAACUCAGAUGCUUUCAGACUGUCACCUGUUAUCAGGUAACGAUAGUAAUAAUUUAUUUAAAAAAAAAGCUUUCUUUCUUUAUUUUUAUAACUUAAUAACUGAAAAGUUUCCUUUUUUUUUGUUUUUAAAAAAAAGAUCAAGCAUUGAUAUUAUUAAUAUAUAAGCUUGACUGGUUUUUGAUGAUGGGUAUGAUAUUUUUGAUAGGCUGUGGUGAAUAACUUGGAGGAUGCACAUGAGUUGAUUGAUACGGCAGUAUCAACUGCUUUGAAAGAAAGCAAGCCUGUUUAUAUCAGCGUUGCUUGUAACUUGCCUGCGAUUCCUCAUCCUACUUUUAGCCGAGAGCCCGUUCCAUUUUCGCUUUCUCCCAAGUAAGAUUUUCAGCUCGUUCUCUUUAUCAUCAGGGAUUUAUUUGACUUACUUUCAGGUUUUUGACUGAUUAGUGGCAAUUUUUGUUUUGGCGGGGUAGGUUGAGUAAUGAGAUGGGCUUGGAGGCUGCAGUUGAGGCAGCAGCAGAGUUCUUGAACAAGGCGGUGAAACCAGUGUUGGUUGCUGGGCCCAAAAUGAGAGUGGCCAAGGCUUGCAAUGCUUUCGUUGAGCUUGCUGAUGCUUGUGGCUACGCCGUUGCGGUGAUGCCAUCAGCGAAAGGGCUAGUACCAGAGCACCAUCCCCAUUUUAUUGGAACUUAUUGGGGUGCCGUGAGCACUGCUUUUUGUGCUGAAAUUGUGGAAUCUGCUGAUGCUUAUUUGUUUGCUGGACCUAUAUUUAAUGACUAUAGCUCGGUUGGGUACUCUCUUCUUCUCAAGAAGGAGAAGGCAGUCAUUCUGCAGCCUGAUCGUGUGGUGAUUGCUAAUGGACCGGCAUUUGGUUGUGUUUUGAUGAAGGAUUUCCUCAAAGCACUUUCAAAGCGGCUCAAAAGCAACACUACUGCUUAUGAGAAUUACCACAGGAUUUAUGUUCCUGAGGGGCAACCUCCGAAGUGUGAACCCAAAGAGCCCUUGAGAGUGAAUGUUCUGUUCCAACAUAUACAGAAGAUGCUGUCUAGUGAAACUGCUGUGAUUGCUGAGACAGGGGACUCUUGGUUUAACUGCCAGAAACUGAAAUUGCCUAAGGGAUGCGGGUGAGCAUAAGAAAAUCUGAUUCUUCAUGUUUGCUGGUUCUAAACCUUCUAUAAAAUUUACCAAAUAAUGAGAAUUUGGUUUUGCAGGUAUGAGUUCCAAAUGCAAUAUGGAUCAAUUGGUUGGUCUGUUGGUGCUACUCUUGGAUAUGCACAGUCUGUGCCAGAGAAGCGUGUCAUUGCUUGCAUAGGUGAUGGUAGCUUCCAGGUAUGAGCCAGCGAUAUUCGUCUAUGUUAAUUAUCUUUUAUUUGGAAAACCAACCAUGAAAGACACUGUUAAAAUGAUAAUACGACACAAAUAAUCUGAAUCUGAUCUGUUUGUUUUACCUAAACGCUUCAAAUUUCUUGCAUAGUCAAUGAUAUCCUGUAAAGCAUUGGUCUUUUACGUCAUCAGUGUUUUUAUCUUUGUUGGUGACUGCCUCAGGUAACUGCACAAGAUGUGUCAACAAUGCUGCGAUGUGGGCAGAAGACUAUAAUCUUCCUGAUUAACAAUGGUGGUUACACCAUUGAAGUUGAGAUCCAUGAUGGACCGUACAAUGUGAUCAAGAACUGGAACUACACCGGGUUGGUUGAUGCAAUCCACAAUGGCGAAGGCAAGUGCUGGACAACCAAGGUCAGUUUUGCUUAUUUAUCUCAUUUUUCUUUAACCCAUCCUUUCUAGCAUUGAGAAGUGCUCACCCUGAAGUUGUCCUUCGUAUCUGUUGUUGCAGGUCUUCUGCGAGGAGGAGCUCAUCGAAGCCAUUGAGAACGCUACUGGACCCAAGAAGGAUUGCUUGUGCUUCAUUGAAGUACUUGUUCACAAGGAUGAUACAAGCAAAGAGCUUUUGGAAUGGGGCUCCAGGGUCUCCGCUGCCAAUAGCCGCCCACCAAAUCCUCAGUAGAUAUGAGGCGGCUCAUAUUGCAAAUUGCACUCUACUACCAUUUAUAGCCAAAUUAAAUGCGCGCAUGUCUUUUCUGUGGUUACUUUACUAAGUUUUGGGUAUUUUGAACUAUUUGCUGGUUUCUAAUGUAAAUUCAUUUUAAAAUUUAAUAUCUACUAAAUCCUCUCCAUUGCUUCAAUUUCACUAGUCAUAUUGAUACAUAUAGAUGCAAUAAUUGACACGUACGAUAAGUACGGGAGCCACGACAGUGACAUAUUGAAAUUUCCAAAUGUUAUAACUUUCAUAUUAGUUACAUGAAAAAAAAAAAUGAUGUUUUAAGCCGAAGGGGUGGUAAGGUUAUAAAAUUAUAUAUUUUGAGCCUCCGAAUAAAAAAUUAAGGGCAUUUGAUUCGAGAGACAUGCUUUGAGCUUUGUCAUCCAUCCUCCUCCAAGAAUAUGACACCUGUUGCUCAAUCUCAAAGUGUGGAGCAAGCUCUUCUUCAAUUUUAUUGUGUGGAGUUUGAAUUUCAAAAUUUUUGCACAAUUUUUUUUAUAUUUUUACUAGUCCAACCAAUAUUUACUUUAGAGCUUGUUUUGAAAGAGUAGAACACGGUAUUCUUCUUCCAGACGCGAAAAGCACAACACAAGUUGGAUUAUGCACGGUUCGUUGACUCAGGAGCUAGCUCAGGUCGUUGGUUCAAAGUUACGACAUGUCGUCCAACAAAAUACAAAUUGAAACUACAAGUCGGUCGGCUGUACCAGACAACAUGUCAUGGACUUAAAAGCGAUCCACUCACAUUAUCAUCCAUACAGCUUUGCUAGGAUUCUAGUAAUAUUAGCAAGCAUCUUAAUCAUCCGUAGACCAAGACCAAGAGACAAGUUACAUCAUUUAUGAAGGAAGAUGUGACCUGCAUUUUAACAGUCAUCUUUGGAGGCUUGGAAAUCUAUGGUUUAUUUCUAAAGUUCAAAAGAUUGGAAUAUCAUGUUUCAUGACAUCUUGGAUUGUGUCCAUCCAAAUUUUGUUUGCUUUCACCUGCUGUGCCCACACAAUUCACCUCACGAUAAAUUUGCUACGCAUAAACUAUAUCCAUGAAGGGGCAAAAUCCGAAAGUAAUUUCUGAAGAUUAUACACAGAUAUCAUUUAGUGCCCGAGUGCCUGGGGCAAGCAAAAAUCUGCAUCAACGGAGAACUAUGUACAAUAGAUGUUUGACAAAACAGAUCUACGGUUUGGCACUGUUUCUUGGAGCAAGCACGAGACGACCAUUUUCAAGUAGGCUGCUAGGAAAGGGAGCUCGACAGCUGCUAAUAUGUGAUUUCAACCUGGGUAUGCUAGGAUGUGCACUUCUACACCGGUGGCAUCGCAACUCCAUCGAUAACAAACUAUCAUCAUCUUUUAAUGUUGCUUUGCCGUGAUUAAUGAUUUCUUCAAGUACAUCAACCGAAUUGCAAAAAAAUGCAGUAUUGAAAGAGUUCCAGUGCUUCUUAUUCUUAAGAUGCUUGGAGUUAAAAUCUUGGCUAAUAACAUGUAGGUGUAGUUGGCGCAUAGAUGGAGCCUGCAAGAAAAGAGUCCCAAAUGAUUUGCGGAAACCGACAUUUUUCAAAUUUCACCAAAUCUGUCUAUAGUGAUCACUAAGCAGUUUUGCAGUAGUCCAGGUCAUAAUAUAAACCUAAACAAAAACAAAGAAAAACAGAAAAGAAAAAGAAAAUAAAAAAAAGGCUGCAGCAAUGGAAAGGUACAACUAAACAGUACACAGAAUUUCAGAUCAUCCAAUACACUCAUUAUACCACACUUUUUCCUUAAAAUCAUUAUUCUUACUUAAAUACUGCAACCUAUGGUAUUCUGAGUGUUUAAACAUAUCACAUCUCAAGUUCUGUUGGCAGCAUCUAGUCUCUGAUUUUUGGAUUCUUCCAAUUCUAAAUGCAUUUUACUCUAGUUUGGCCCCAGACCAUGUAAAAGGCCUUAUGGUAUGAGAUUCCUCAACUGAUAGAAAAAGGAAAACAAAAAAUAAAAAUAAAAAUGAGUAGUAUUCUAUACCGAAUGAUAUCCAAGACGGAAGGCCAAUGAUGCAUCUUCAUGCAAGAACUUCUCAGCCCACUUCAUACCCACAGUAUGCAUCGUUUGUAAAAUUUGCAGAUGUUCAUUUCGUACAUCUGCCAAGCGAUCAAGACCAUCGAAUCGUGACAGCACCAAAAUGUGUUUCUGAGCCUAUAAUAAGGAAUGAAAACUCCACACACUUAUUAAUUGAGCUCAAGUAAAUGCAAAGUAGGGUUCCUGGGGGAAGGUUGUCUGAUGGAUGUACCUUUGGAUAAAGAUCAUUUAGUACAACAACAUCAUCUGAUAUCUCAAGCAGAUCAUCUUUAUGCCUUUCAGGAUGCAUGGCCGUGCGAUAAAGAACUUGAGCCCAAGAGCCCCAGGCCUUAGAAGUGCUUACACCAAUCUUCUCAUUGUCUGCAUUUAAGUUUGCAGCCCUAGAAAGAUUAAUAUCAGUUCCAACUUCAUUUUGAGCUCCCUUACAUUUCUUACUUCGUUCAUAUUCAUGGCCACCAUCUCUUUUAAUUUUAUCACCAGUCGAAAUAUAAUUUCCAUGGACAUCCUCAGAGUGAUCUUGUGAAACUGAAGGCUCUAACCGAAUGUCUUCAUUGCAUCCCUUGGAUAACUUCUCUUGGGACCUCACUAUGGAUAAAAAACCUUCAAAAAGUGAGGUGUAAGCCUUACGAAGAAUUUCACAGCCUUUAACAUAGUCACCAUGAAGACAAUUUGGUCUACGUGGGUUCAUAUUAGGUCCAAGAACAUGUAUAACAUGGGUCACACCUUCCCUAUCACACAAGGGAGAAGUUGAAGGGAGAGGAACAAUAACAGAAUUCCCAGGGUAAAGAGAUUUAGCCCGUUCUGCAGUUGCAACCUCUAGAGCAGGCCCUGCAGCACUGAAAAUUGCAGCAUUCACACCUCCACCUCCAGGUUUUAGUCGCCUGCAUAGGUGAUUUGUCAGUUAAUCUUCUUAAUAAGAGAAUAAAAUUGCAAUGACAGGUUUAAACCAUUAUCAUUAUUUUCCCAGAUAUAAUGAUGGUUCAACAGAGCAGAGUCAACAUGUUGUCUCAAUAUCUAAAGAAAUGAAGCAACCAGCUGAUCUCUGAUUGUUUCAAGACCACCAACAAAUAUCUGCCAUUCCAGAGGCUAAACGGUGCAAGUAAAAGGAGGUCCCAUGCAUGGUUUCAAUGGCAGGAGUUCCUCAAGAAUUUCCCUAAUAAAAUAUUUCCAGUGACACAUUUAACACCUAACAGAACUCUCUGCAUAUUAUAAAAUCAUACAAGCUUACCAGUUGGCAGCAUUAGCUAUUACAUUGCAGCAUAAACCUCCUCCUGUAUAAAGUCGAGUAAUAUCUCCAACAAACGUGAAGAACUUUUUAGGGUUGAUGUGUUUUUGUGCAGCUUUGGCCCUAACCAAAGACAAAAUCUUUGAUCCAUGAGUCAAAUCCACUAAUACUAGCCUGGCAUUUCCAAGCUUGUUUACGUAUUCCUCAACUUUUUCAAUGAUUACAUCAGAGGCCUUGUCAUUAUUGAAUUGAAAAUCUGAUGUUGAAAGAGACGGAAAUGCCAGAGUUGGAACAUCACUUGAAGAACCAUUCUGGUUGACAGAGGCCACCUCUGGGUUUUCAAUUCGCUUUACCUCUUCCCCCGCAGCAUCUGAUAACAAAGAAGUAAUUUCUUGUCCUUCAAGGCAGCUAUUCUUUUCUUCAGUAAUUUGAGGAGGCACAGGAUCCUGAGUGCUGCUUGCAUUAGACCCUGUAUUAGAAGGAGCAUCUACUUUCUUCAAGAAUUUCAUUAUACCAAGUUGAAUUUUGGCAUCUGGAUUCUUCUGGCCAAAAGAACCAUGUGGGAGGGUAUCUAAUGGACCAAGUCCACUGUACGUAUCAAGUGCAGCUUGAACAUCAUUCUCAUUCUGGCAUAACGUAAUUCGAGAGAACCCUUCACUCAGCUUAGGCAAUUCUUUCUUUUGAAGCAUUCUGUUCACCACUGCUGCAGCUUUUCCACCUUGCAAUUUCCCUUCAUGCUCAAUACGUUUAACAGAUCGAGAUAUACAAAGCUUGGCUGGAAGAUCAAGCACCACAGCAUGCACAUCUACUUCUGGGCCUCCAAGCUUAACAAAAUCUGUGCGCUGUUCUCUCUCUAGGUUGCACCUGUCUAUAAAUACACUUUUUCCCUCCUUCAAUGCACUUGAUGCACUCGUCAGGCACUGAACCUUUGUUCCAGAUUUUCCUUUAUUAAUAGUGUCCUACAGUAACAAAUGAAAUAGAAUAUGCCAAACCACUGAGAAAUUUUUUUGAUACUCAAAGGCUUACUGUUUAUGCAGUAAACUUAGCAAGUUUAGCAUGAGUUUACGCCAUUUCUUUCCGAAAGCUAAAUCAUUAAAUGAAACGAAAGAAAUUCUAUUAUUAAUACAACCACUUCCAUAGGAAUACAUUCGGAAUUGAGGUGUUGCGUCUUUAACCAACAGUAGCUAUAAAAUGAAAUACAAGCUAUCAUAUAUAAGCUGGUGGGUAAUUAAUAAAUGUAAGCUACUAUCAUAUAUAAGCCGGUGGGUAAUUAAUAAAUGUAAGCUACCAAGUGAGAGUGUAAGCAUAAGUACAAGUACUAUAGCUACAAAUACACCUAAAACAAUGUGACUUUCGAAAAUGCAAUGAAGAAAACAACGUCCAACUCCCAUUAUUUUGUAAUAAAAUAACACUCACAACACAAAUUUCACCAGUUUCUGAGAUGAAAUUCAGUAAAGCAUUUCAUCAAACAUGAGCGACGGAGAUCAUUUAAGUGAAAAAAAAAAAACGACGGGGAAAAAGAACAAGAAACCUGGCAAAUACGUGCCCAGGGUCGGGCAGAAGAACGCAUGACGUGCUCACAGAACGUUGACUUGCCGCUGCCGGGCGCACCCACCAUUAUCACCAGGAUUUGCUUCCACUUCUUUUCUUCGUCUUUAAAAUCAAGCAAACAGCGUAGACAUUUGAAACGUUAUUAAAGAGCAAUUAUCAAAUUAAUUAGACUCGAUAAUCAUCAGAUAGGUCUAUAUAUAUAUAUAGAUGCACACACACCUUUGGCUUUGCAAGUAUCGUCAAUUUCCAUAUCCAUUUUUUGUCUGAGAUUCGGAGCUCUUACAAGGCUCUAUGACUCGGGAAAUAUGCCGGAGGGUUUUUUUUUUUUUUUCUGCAAGCCGGUGCUUGGGUGUGUAUAUAAAUAAAUGGACUUCGGCCCAAAGAUUUUAAUUGAGUGCUUGUCUGUCUUGGGGAACAUUAAUAGUAAACUAAAACUCUCCCUUCUAUGGGAAGAUACUAAUAACAAUGUCCUUGACAUUUGUACUAUUAGCGAAUGCUAGCUCUAUUCUGUCCCCAAAAUUCAAGGUAACAAGGUGCUGAACCUUUUUCCUUCUUUUUAUUCUGUGGAAACACUCGGCUAGAGCCGCUGCCCUUACAAAACAUGGUGAGGAAUUAAUUCUUUUCUUAAUUAUAUAAAUUAAUUAAGUAAAAUAAAUCUUUUCUCUUUUGAAAUAUGAAUAGAGUAAAUAUAUAAAAGAUUUAAAGUAAAACUAAUCCAAAUAAUUGGUCAGCUUGUAAAUGUAUCACUGUCAGUCUCAUGUAAUAAUUUGAACAAUUUUUUUAUGUAAUUCAAAAAAAAAAUUCAUUGCAGUGCCAAUUCAAAUUUUAUUGCAACUCUUCAUCAAUUCACUGAUGCAAUUGACAUGAUUUAACAAUCUGCUAGAAAUCCGUUAAUAAUCUUCAGAGAGUAGUGGCAACAAUGAAAGUAAUAACGAAAAACGUCAAGAUUGUUGAUCACCCCUGCCGCAGUUUGCAAUACCCCCCUAUUUCAGGUAGAAAUUUGUCUGUUACAGUAAUUUUUCUCCUGAAAUGAUUUCCUUUGAUUCUUAAAAGACAGAUUCAGGUUGAGUAUACCAAUGAAAUUGAGCCCCUUCAUUGCAGACCUUUGCAGAUUUGCAGCAUCAUCACCGACUCCCAACUUGCACCAUUGAAUGCUUAUCUACUGAUACAGGAGCUCAUUCAGUACUGAAUGAAUGUCGGAACAUACAAAUUCCAGAGCACAAAAACAAAGUUCAAAGCAAGAAAUCACCCCAAAGGAUUUCUUCACGGGGAGAAAUGCCUGAACUUUCAUUAUGAUACAACUGCCUGGUUUACUUCAUGUUUAAACAAAUAUCAUAAUCAAUCAUUUCAACAGUGCAAUUUUUAUAAGGGCACCCACAACUCAACACCAAUCGAUGGACUAAAAUGACAGGGAAACCUACCAAACACUGUUUCUCAUCUUCCGGUCCAGAGUUGGACCUUGGCAUUUCAUUUGAGUGGACAACAAAUCUGAUUUGUCCAGAGGCUCACUCAUUAUUCCAGCCAAAUGCAGUAAGCAUGGCCGCACAAAGGAAGUUCACCCAUCAUCUUGUGGGGUUGAAUGAAUUUUCUCACAGCAAAACAUAUGAUAUAGAUCCAACACUAAACUUGCUGGAAAUAGCUUUGGCUCUAUCAACACAUUCAAAAAUAAGGUCUACAAGGGGACUAGGAUAUGGAAACUCAAGCAGAAUAGCUUUCAACAGGGCAAUUGUAGAACCAUCAUUCCACAAAAUUAGGCUAAAGACUGAUGACCUGCAAGGUAAUAUAACAACUCCUGAUCCAUUGGUUAACAAAACAAAACCUUGAAAUCUAGCGAUGCAACAAAGUAGUUGCACAAUCAAACCAAGUACCAAGGUCCCUCAUCCCUACAAGAAAUUUGCAACAUUCAAUGAAACCAAAUUUAUUCACAUUUGGUUGCAUGAUACUUUAUCAAGAAGAUUUGGGAGUUCAUAUAUAUCUAUCCUUUAAGUUUUAAGGCUAUUGAGAACUAACUAUUUGGUCAAUUUCCCAAUUCACUUCAAAUUCAAAGACAAAUAACAUUAAAAGUAACUGUAAUCCAACAUAGGAAUCAUAUCUCACAUAAAAGUAAAACCAGAUGAUUCCAAAAACAAGCAAAUGGAGGGAAGUAUCUAGAAAGUAGAAACUAACCGGACCAUCUGAGCACUUUGGAUUUUUUAAUAGCUCCCGAAAUACAUAAAAGAUGGAUAAAUCAACAUAUUCAGCUUCCAUUAGAAGUAAAUAAAAGACAGUAAUAGCCACAGUAAAUCAUAAGGAGUUGCGCAGUAUAAAAAAAUAAUCACAGUCAAACGAAAAAUAGAUCCAAAACUAAUAAUAUCCAUUAGAUUAAAAUCUAUGAAAGUCAUCAAAACAUUUCAGAAUACACUGUCUGAUUCAACUGACUCAAAAACAAAAAAACGCACGACAUUAGACUUCAACAAGAUCGACAAAAUGUGAAAACCUCUGAAGAGAGAGAAAGAGGAAGGGAGGUGUCUUAUUCUUCUUCUACUUAGAUCUCUGUCUCAUCUUUCGGCGCUUUCUCUUCAAUCUCCUCAUGCGCUUCUUCUUCCACUGAAAUAAUAAUUAUUCAUCAAGAUAAUUAAAUUAAAAAAGAAAUUGAAACUAACGGAGAAACUAAAAUGAAUGGCUUCGUUAAGAUAACAAUAAUUUAAGAGGUUACCUUGGCUCUCAUGGUGACUGGCUUGCAAAGACUAACAGAUUCUCUCUCGGUGGCCUUCGAAAGCCUAGGUAAAACGGAAGAAAAUGUGUUGGGUUUGCAUUUAUUUAUACUUAAACCCUAGCAAGAAAGGGGAAUGAACCGGGCCGAUAUGCUUUCCUUUCAGGCCGGAAGCUCCGGUUCAUCAUUUUUUCCCCUCAGUUUUCGUUAGUUUUUAUGGACGACUUGUCUUCUAAAUAGAAAACACCAAUGACAAGUCACUCUUUAAUUCUAGUUAUAAACGACACAGUGAUUUAUGAAUUUUCUUUUAUUUAUUUAUUUUUCCACUUUUCAACAUCAAUCCUUUGAAUAUCACCCAUAAUUUUCCAUGUGACAUUUGUUUUUUUAUUUUAAAUAUGAAUAGAACUAAAAAUCAGAAUCUGAAUGGUAUGUUUAUUAUUAUUAUUUUUUUAUCGAAAUAGCUCAAAAGAUAUAUUAAGUUGUUUUUUUACAUAAAAAAAUUGAAAAUUAGUAUUUCUACACUUAUAUCCUUAAAAAUUAUAAACAUUAAACAAAGUAAAUGUCACAAAGAACUUAAAUAAAAUAAUAAAUUAUAUAACAUAGAUUAUGCUUAAUUGAAUAUAAUUUUUUAUAUUCUAAAUUAGUAUAUGUUAAUCAAUUUUAUUUUUCUUCAUGAUGUUUUUAUAUGAAAAAUAUUUAUGAAAAGAUUAUAAUAAAUAAAUAGUAUUAAUUUGAAGAAGAUAAAAAUAUAAAAAUAAUAAUAGUUCACUAUUAUAUUUUCACAAAACACAAAUUAUAAAAUGGAUAAUAACGCUAAUUAUUAAAUUUUAUUUAGACUACAGGAACAUAAUAAUAUAAAAUAAUAUGCAACGCCAUACUUACCAGCUGCAUAGUCAAGUAGUAUUUGAAGCUACAGUUAUUGCUCAAUUUAAUCACAAACGUCUUUUUAAUCACAUGUUUAAUAGCUUUGCCGUAUCCACUCAUUUAUGCAGUAAUUGGCUAAUUGCUGGUCACUCGAUACAAGAUUCACCUAAGAUUUUUCUUCGAUACUUUCCCAACAAUUAUACAGCCAUUGCAAGUACUAUCGCUAUCUCCAAGAUUCAAAUGUGAAUUCUACUCUUAUCAUGGCUUUUCUUGAUGUCUUCUUUAGGCUACUUCUUUGCCAUCAAUAUAGCUUUUGUCUCUGGCCAAUGUCAAAGCGAUCAGCAAACAUUGUUACUGCAAUUGAAGAGCAGCCUCACAUUCGAUCCCUCUUCAUCUGUAAAACUGAUGCAGUGGCGUCAAAGCACUGAUUGUUGUGAUUGGAGCGGUGUAGAUUGUGAUGAGGCUGGUCAUGUUAUUGGUCUUGACUUAAGCACGGAAUCGAUCUCCGGCGGUAUUGAGAACGCAGCUAUUCUUUUCAGUCUCCAUUAUCUGCGGAGCCUAAACUUGGCUCGCACUAGCUUCAAUGGAACACAAAUCUCAUCCAAGUUGGCCAACAUCUCAAGUUUGACUUAUCUGAAUCUUUCUGAUGCUGGCUUUGCUGGGCAGAUUCCAGUUCAGAUUUCACGCAUGGCAAGGUUGGUUGCUCUUGAUUUUUCAUUUAACCAAUUCUCUGGUUCGAUCUCAUCUAUUCGCUGGGAACAUCUUUUGAAUCUUGUUUGUGCUGUCUUAAGCGAUAAUUCCCUUGAUGGAAGUAUCCCCCGGUCAAUGUUUGAAUUUCCGAUGUUACAGCAGCUUCAACUUGCCAACAACCAAUUUGGCGGCUCAAUUCCUAGAUUUUCAAAUGCAUCCUCCUCUGCACUAGACACCCAGAUUAAGAGGGUCUAUUCCUGUCUCGGUCUUCGAACUCAAAAACUUACUCCCCUUUUGCUUUCUUCAAACAACCUCAAUGGCACUGUGCAGCUGGAUAAGAUUCUCAGUCUUGGCAACCUUGCAAAACUUGAUCUUUCAUACAAUAGCUUGGCAGUGGAUGAAAGCAGCAGAAAUUAUUCAUUCUCUCCAAUGCUGGAGCUUUUGAAUUUGGCUUCUUGCAAACUGAGGGAGAUUCCUAAUCUGAAGAACCAAUCGCAACUGCAAUAUUUAUACCUUUCAGAAAACCAAAUUUCCAGGGAAAUCCCUAAUUGGAUUUGGCGAGUAAGUGUUGUCGGUCUUCACUGUCUUAAUCUUUCACACAAUUUCCUGGUGGGUUUCCAGGCACCUUACUCAAUCCCUGCACUUCGCUUCAUAGACCUAAUUUCCAACCAGCUCCGAGGAAAUAUUCAUCAACUACCUAACAAUCCUAUUUAUAUAGAUUUCUCUAACAAUAAUUUUACUUCUUCCAUCCCAGCUGACACUGGUAAUUUCAUGCCUAGAUUAAGAUACUUUUGCGCUGCUAACAAUGGUCUCACAGGAAUCAUCCCUGCAUCUUUAUGCAAUGCUACAACUCUUUCACUUCUUGACUUGUCAAACAACAGUUUUAUGAAGAAGAGUGACACUCUAUUUGUUUUAAAUUUACAGAGUAACAACCUCAAUGAGUCAAUGGCACACUUCCUGACACGUUUCCUAGAAAUUGUUUGCUACAAACUCUGGAUCUCAAUGGAAAUCGACCACAAGGAACGGUCCCAAAAUCCAUUGCCAAAUGCAAAAUGCUGGAGGUUUUAAACCUUGGGAACAACCAGUUUAGUGACAAAUUCCCAUGCUCGUUAUAUGAUGCCCCUAGUUUGCAUGCGUUGGGAUUAUAUGCUCUUUAAAACAUAUUAAUUUAUUUAUUUUCUGAUUAAUAAAAUAUUUGAAAUAUUUUUAAUUGCAUAAAUAUUUUGAAUAAGGUCCGUUUAAUCAUAUUAUAUGUAUUUAUCUGAUCACCAUAUAGAUUUACAGAACACAUAAAUAUAAAUUAUUUUAUAAUUAAAUAAAUUAAGUUCGCAGUUGAUAAAUAGAGUUGGACGCUCUAUUUAUGUUUACACUAUAAUAAAUUCAUUGAAUGAUUUGUCUUAAUCAUAUAUGAAUUUAUUAAUGUAGCAUAACUACAUUGAACAAGAUCACAUAUGAGAUUUAAUUAACUUUGUAAUAACUGUCAGACUUAUUAAAUCUUAUAAGCAUUGAUUUUACUGUGAUCUUAAUCUUGAGUUAGUUAUGAUUUUAUGAUUGUAAUUGUUAUUUUAUUUGAGUUAUUAAUGGGCACAACACACACUUGUAGUCAAAAUUACACGGUAUCUUGGUGAGAACAAUUAUGAGUAUUAGAAUUAUAGAUUAACAAUAUAGAAUUUGUACAACACAUCUUUUGAUAUGUUUUCGGCAUUUGAUCAUAGAAUUCUCUGCCUAGAGUGUGUCAACAUAUUUAGUAUGUUGAAAAUGAUUAUUAGAGAAAACCAGUAAGUAUUAAGGAACAAGAUGUAAUUAAAUUGAUUGGACAUUUGAGAUAUCGAUUUAAUUAACAAUGUGGUAUGAAUGAUUAUGUAGUAAAGAAAUCAAUGUGGCAUAGGUCGAAUUAUUAUUCUGAGUACACUAUCUUAGAUAGCAUACAAUUAUGGAGGUCAAUUCUAAUCUUUUAGUGAAGUAGAUUUGGAAUUAAAUAAUUGGGCUAGUUUAAUUACAGGUCUAAUUAUUGUAGCCACUAUUGUAUGUACCCAUAUGAUCCUCGGGUUAGCUCAUUUAAUUGAUUGCGCUGCUACUGGAUUAAAAAGCAAGAUAACUAGCUAUUUUGGUUAAAAGCCUAAAUAUAUUAUUUAGUGAGAAGCUCCACAUAAUGUACUUGUGUCUAAGAGGUCUUGUGUUAUUUUACAAGGUGGACCCCUUUGACAAGAAGAAGUAAUGUUACUUUUAAUUUUAUUAUUUUUAAUUUAAAUCAAAUUUGAUUUAAUAAAAUUAAAAAUAUAAAAAUAUGGAGUCUAGGGUUUUCACUAAGAUAGAGAUAUAAAAUGAAUUAUUUUCUCCCAAAAAGAAGAGUGAGCCAUAUUAUACAUAUCAGAGAAAAAGUUUUUUUCUCUCUAAAUUUUAAAAGAAAUAUUUUCUCCUGCUAAUUGCUUUUAGUGGUGAUAAAGAUGCCUAUACGUCAAGUGCAGAUCAAUCUUGAGCCAUAACUUGGAAGAUUAUUGGUGGCGGAUCGUGAUCUAACAAGAUUAGUGGUAAUGGAUUGUGAUUUAAUAAGAGUGGUGGUGACGGAUUGUGAUUUAAUGAGAAUGGUGGCGAUAGAUCGUGAUUUGGGAGCCCAGAUUAUUUCAGCGAAAAAGUAAAGUCGGAUUGUCAAGAUAUGAUUUUAUAGAUUAUGAAUUUAUAUAUAUUAUAUGAGAUUGAUUCUAAAAGUUUUUAUAAAAAUUAAAAAAAAAAACUAAUUUUCCUCUAACAGCAUGUUCUAGCUUUACGGUCCAACAACUUUUUAGGAUGCAUCAGUUGCCCAAAAAAUAAUGUCUCCUGGCCGAUGCUUCAGAUUAUCGACCUGGCUUCGAACAAAUUUAGUGGAAGAAUAUAAAAAAAGAAUGGUUACUAAACUUGGAGGCGAUAAUGGGUGAUGAAGGCAAAUCCCAAGCAGAGCUAAAAUUAUCGACCUACGAUAUGAGUUAAAAGAAAACAAGUACUACCAAGUUACAGUUACAGUUACAGUUACAAUUAAAGGUCUAGACAUCAAGCUACAGAAGAUCCUAAAUAUAUUCACCUCCAUUGACUUUUCAACCAACAAUUUUAAAGGGCCGAUACUAGAAGAUGUAGGACUACUCAAAUCACUCUAUGGUUUGAACUUGUCGCAUAAUGCUCUGACAGGCUCCAUCCCAUCAUCUUUUGGGAACUUGAAACGGCUGGAGUCCCUAGAUCUCUCAAUGAACAACCUGAGCAGGGCAAUCCCUUCACAGCUUGCAAGUUUAUAUUUUCUUUCUUACCUGAAUCUCUCAUAUAAUCAAUUGGAGGGAAGGUUCCAAUAGGUACUCAAAUGUAAUAAUUUUUACCAACUGCUUUUGAAGGUAACCAAGGAUUAUGCGAACCCCCCUUUGAUGAAUAAUUGCCAGACAAAUUCCAGCAAGUUGGCAUCAUCAGCACCACCUGCUUCAAGAGAUGAAAUGGAUUGGUUUUUCAUAAUCAUGGCAACUUGAUUUGCGAUAGGAUUUAGAACAGUUGUUGCACCCCUAAUGUUUUCUAGGAAUGUAAACAGAUGGUAUAACAACAUCAUCAACAGAUUUCUAAACCGGCGGUUCUGCGUGUGAAGUUAUUUAUAUCAUCUAGAAAAAUCAUGGAGCUUCAUAUUUUCGAUAUGAAUUUGUUGUUGGAGAUUUUCCUUUUUUUUGUCAUAUAACUAUUAUUUUGACAAUCUUUACCUCUAAAUCGAACACUUCAAGCUACAUAAAUACAAGCAAUUAAUUAUAGAUAGACUUGCACUUAAAAUGAGACAAAUGACUAUCGCUACAACUAUAAAUUAAUUCGGUAUGGGUGGACUGUUACAUAGACAGAAGGAUGGUAAGUGGUUUAGAUAAUAUGAGCAAUUGAGCAUCAUAUAUAUUUUCUCCUUUUCUUUAAGAUAGCAUCACAUGUUGAACUCAAAAUUUUUGCUUUUCCGUAAUAAUUGAAUAUACAAUGAGGUGCAAAUUAGAGGGUACGAAAUUUUAGUGGUUGUUAAAAGAUGUUCAUCAUUUAAUCAUUUGAAGAAUUGGGAAUCGUAUUCCAUUUUACAAGUUUGAUCAGUAGAAAUGAGAAUUUAGAAGACGAUAAUUAUUUUUAUAAGAUAUGAGCCCAAUCAAGACUUGAAAGAACUUCUGUGUCUUCACAUAAGUGAUUUUAUUAUUAAGGAAAAUUAUCAAUCAUAUACCUUAAGUUUACCAUAUAUAUUAUCAAAAAUCCUAUACAAUUUUGAAUUUCUUUGAUUUUUUCACCUUAAGUUGGCAAUUUAUAUCAACUGACCACCAAAAAAUUAAUUAUCAUUCAUAAAUAAUGACAUUAUAAGGGUAAUUUAGACAUUAAAUAUGUUUAAUAUUGAAAAAUUAUUAGUCAUUCGCCACAAGUUUACCUUGUUAUUAAAAAUAUUAUAAAAGUUUGAAUUUGUUUAAUUUUCCACCCUAUGUUUUCUAUUUAUAUCAAUCGUCCGCCAAAACAUCAAAUUGAUCCACAAAGUACCCUAAGCGCCAAUUCAUAAACAACCAAUCAAUCAAAUCCUUAAAUUCAAUUUCAUAAACACCUAAUCAAACCCAAUUUACAGUGUCAUAGCGACUACCACCAUUGAUCGCCACUGUCGUUGCUACUUCGUCCGGCCUCAUGGAUAGUUGCAAUCACUACAACACUCUUCAAUGGUCGGUCUUCAUAGCCCAAUGCAAAUUUUUGUGAAUUAUCGCAAAUAGUUGAAGAAUUCAGUGAUUAAGGAUUUGAUACAGUUUUAAUGUUGAUUUUUUUAACUCUAUAAAUUAAUAAAGAGAGAAGAUAUGGAAAAAGAUUGUUAGAUAUAUUUUAUUUUAUUUUUUCUUGAUGAAGGAUUUGAUGACAAUUAUAUUUAGGGAUCAAAAUCAUUGGUGGAUUGUGUUUUGGAACAAAGAGUGCUGGCUUGCUUGAUUUUGAUAUUUUAUUUUUGUUUUUCUUUUUUAAUUUAAUUUUAUUAUUUAUGGUGCAAAGUGGAAAUGCCCUUGAAUUCAAGAGUAAAAUGGUCAUUUUAUUUAGAUUUUGUAAAAUAUUCUAACAGUAUUAAUAUUUUGUAGAAUGUUGACACAAAUUACAUACUUAAUGUGGAAAAUUGAAUAAAUUCAAAUUUUUGCAUUAUUUUUUAUAGUAGGAUAAAUUUAAGAUGGAUGAUUGAUAAUUUUCCUUGAAUUCAAAUGUAAAGUGGUCAUCUAUAUAGAUUUCAUUAAAAAUUCCAACAACAGUAACAUUUGGUGGAUAGUAAAAAAUGAAACAAAUUUUAAUUUUUAUAGUAUUUUUUAUAAUAUGAUAGCUUAAAGUAUAUUAUUGAUAAUUUUCCUAUUGUUAAUAAAUUCGGCUACCUUAAUGACGACAAAGUCUAUGAGCUAGUGUAGUUUUUUUUACAAAAGAUAUUUAACCAAAGGGAGCCCUAACUUAAGUGUUUGCCUUAGCGAAAACUCUCAAUUUUCUUCUGCCAUAAAGUCCUUUCAAGUCUUACUGUUGUGGACUAGUGUUGCCUUCUUCUUUACACCAGUGACCAGCAUAUUAAAAGAUUCUUUUUUGCUGGUGGUCAAUAAAGUUUUUUUUUACAGGGAAAUAAUUGCACAUAAGAGAGGCUCACACGCUGUUCGUGUGUGUGGGUGUAAGUUACAUGAAAUGUAACUUAGUGUUUGUCUUAACAAAAACUCUCAAUUUUCUUCUGCCAUAAAGUCCUUCCAAGUCUUUCUGCUGUCGACUAGUGUUGCCUUCUUCUUUACGCUGGUGACCGGCAUAUUAUAAGAUUCUUUUUUGCUAGUGGUCAAUAAAGUUUUUUUAUAGGGAAAUAAUUGCACGUAAGAGGGGCUCACACGUUGUUCAUGUGUGUGGGUGUAAGUUAUAUGAAAUAUAACUUAGGUGGCGUUUGUUUUUUAACUUAAUGACUUAAAGUGACUUAACUUAAUUAAUUAAGUUAAUUAGAGGUGUUUGUUUUUAUAACUUAAUGAGGCUUUUUAAAUAAUUUUGACUUAAUAAAAUAAGCUAAUUUUUUUAGCUUUUUACUUAAUGGAGAAAUCUGAAUUAAGUCAAUUACUUGCUAAUGUCAAAAAUAUCCCUGUUUUAUAAUUUAUUUGUUAUGUCUAUCCCAAAACUCACCCAUAGAUAUUUACCCCACAUAAAAAUAUUCAUGUUUUUUUUCUUAUAUUAUAUAUGAUAAAAUUUGAAAUUUAUGGUAUUUUAUAUAUUAAAAUUCUAAAAUAAUUAUGUAUUCACUUGAAUAUAGUUUUGCUUAUAAAUGUUAAAAUAUUGUGGUAUUUAAUAUAUUAUUUAUUUGACAUUCAAAUUUAAUAAGGAUACAAAUGUAAAAGUACAUAUUUUUAGCUUUUUAAGUUGAAAAAAACAACAACUUAAUACUUAUUUUUCGAGAUUCAGACGAAAAAAUAAACAUAUUAUUCAGAUUCAGACAUUCAGACCUAUUCAGAAUUUAGACUAAUUCAGGUCUAUUCAGAUUUCAGAUAAAAAAACAAACGCCACCUUAGUGUUUGCCUUAACAAAAACUCUCAAUUUUCUUCUGCCAUAAAGUCCUUCCAAGUCUUGCUGCUGUUGACUAGUGUUGCCUUCUUUAUGCUGGUGAUUAGCAUAUUAUAAGAUUCUUUUUUGGCGGUGGUCAAUAAAGUUUUUUUUACGGGGAAAUAAUUGCACGUAGGACAGGAAUUUAACAAAGCAAAAUUUAAUUUCGACUAUCCAUAUUUUGAAGAUAAUUAAUUAGGAGAAAAAUGAAAUUAACCCUUUAAGAUAACUCUAUAUUCGGACGAGAUUAAUAAUUUUAUUCGAUUACACCGCUGUCGAUUUGAAUUAAGAGCAUGCUCUUUUAUCUGAGGUCACCGACCCCCCUACAUCUUCUUUGUUUGAAUAAUGAGUUCGGAUUAAUCAAUAGAUUGAUGCCAAUUGAUGGCAAUUAGCGACGACAAGCGGAGUACCGACUCCCCGCCGAUAUAAAUUUGUUCUUUGAUGCCAAAAUUUGACAUAAACAGCAAGACAACGCUCAAUCUAAACGGCAAAAGCAGUAACUGCAAGUAAAACGAUGCUGGCUUCACUCGAGAUCGUUAACAUCUAUCCAAUACUGAAUCAUGAUUUACAGUUUUAAGGAAGAAUUUGCAAAGGGAUGAUCUGAUUUCUCUCGGUGGAUGAUAGAACCCAAGCUUAAUUAAACAACUAUUUUUUUCUUUUUCCUUUUUAAGAAUUAGUUUAUUACAAAUCUAAGCUAAGUUGUCUUGCAAUGAAAUGACUUGACAAGGUGAGCUAACUCGGAAAACCCAAGUGAUCCGAAGUCCAAACCGUAUAAUUACUAAUUUACUACUGUGGAAUUGUAUAGUUGAAAGAGGCUCCUCUUCCGCUGAUUCAUCCUUUGAACAUAAAUUUUUCAGUAUCUAAAAUAAGAAAAGCUCAGACAAGAUGUAAGAUAUGACCUUUGUAUCUUUUUGGGUUAUAAUUUCAGUUGUAUGUAUUUUUUUUAUUUUUUUCAAUUGCUAAAAUUUUAUUCUAUUAAUAAUUCAAUUUUCCCUUUUUCAAUAAUUUCGUCCUUUUUCAGUGUAUAAAAUAGGUAAAACACUCAUUGUAAGACUAUUGAUUGUAAUCAUACACUUAGCAGAAUGAAAAACAUGCGUCUACUAAUAAUUAGUUGCAGUUUACUUUGAUUGCCCUCAUCAGCUGACCAUCCUAUUCCCUGGAAUUCCUCAAUUCUCUUCUUUUUUCUUCUACCUUGCAAUUUCUAGGUCAUACAGUGCCAAUUUGAAAUAAUAUUCGUAUAUUACAAGUAGGGCUGGUAAAAUGGGUAAUCGAGUCAUGUUCGUGUCGUGUCAAAUUUAGGUCAACCCAAACCCGACCCAACCCAAACCCGACCCAUUUAAUAAUCGUGUUAAAAUAUUGAGACCCAAUUUCUAGGUCAUGCAGUGCCAAUUUGAAAUAAUAUUCGUAUAUUACAAGUAGGGCUGGUAAAAUGGGUAAUCGAGUCAUGUUCGUGUCGUGUCAGUUUCGUGUCGUGUCAAAUUUAGGUCAACCCAAACCCGACCCAUUUAAUAAUCGUGUUAAAAUAUUGAGACCCAAUUUCUAGGUCAUGCAGUGCCAAUUUGAAAUAAUAUUCGUAUAUUACAAGUAGGGCUGGUAAAAUGGGUAAUCGAGUCAUGUUCGUGUCGUGUCAGUUUCGUGUCGUGUCAAAUCUGCUGUACCGUACAUCCGCCUUGGCCGUACAGCAGGCUUUUUAAAUAAUUUUGACUUAAUAAAAUAAGCUAAUUUUUUUAGCUUUUUACUUAAUGGAGAAAUCUGAAUUAAGUCAAUUACUUGCUAAUGUUUUUGAUGAUAAAAACCUGCAAAUUAUUUUAAAAUAGAAAAUAUAAUCGUGUCGUUGAUUGGGUAAAUGAGUCAAAUAUUUUAACCUAACCCGACAAAGAAAAAAAUCGUGUCAACCCGGACCCUAUCCAUUUAAUAAUCGUGUUAAAUUCGAUGACCCAUACCUAUUUAUUCGUGUCGGACGAUCGGGUCAUGUUAAAUUUUACCAGCUAUAAUUACAAGAUGAACCCAUGAACCGAAACCACUUUUUCAUGAGUUUACACAUAUAACGUCGGCACCAAUGCUAUUACUUUAUUCAAGUUUCAAUUAUAUCCGGGGUAUUCAGUUAUUGACUUGUUUCCAAUGAGUGUUUUACAGUUAUCAUGGCUUUUCUUGAUAACGUUGUUGACAAAUUUCGGGGGAAUCAACAUGGUUUUGGUUUCUGGUCAGUGUCAGAGUGAUCAGCAAUCCUUGUUGCUCCAAAUGAAGAGCAGCCUAGACUUAAAUUCCUUAGGAAUUGCUUUCUUUGGCAAGCAGAGCACAAGAAACCAGAAACUUGUAUUGAAAAUAAACUUGAAUUGAAUUCUGUUUACAGACCAUCGUCUAUUUAUACAUAAGAAAACAAAAGUGACAGGUAGCUAAAAAUAACAAACUCAGAUAAAAAAAAUAAUCCAGCAAUCAUUAGCCAAUAAUAUGAUGCUUCCAGAAUUUUCAUCCAUUUAUUCAAUGUGCUGGUAUUUCUCUGUGUAGCAGUUUUGCCACCUCAUUGAAGUUGCAUCAGCUGGUAAAUAGGUGUAGCUUAGGUGGCAUGCCAAUGUGUCACUGAGCUCAGCUGAUGAUUUGUCAUGGUCAUGGCUGCUAUCUUCAACACCCUCUCUCAAACACAAGGUUUUGUCAAACACCUUGAGUUUGCUUCUGAAGCAGCUGAAUUUAUAUUAAGGUAAUGGCUUGGUUAGAACAUCAGCUAUUUGGUCUCUGCCUGCAACAAAACUGAUUUCCAACUCUCCUCUAGCUACCAUGUCUCUGAUAAAGUGUAGAUCUAUCUCGAAAUGCUUAGUUUUAGAGUGAAAUACAGGAUUGGUUGCUAUUGCAGCUGCACUUGUGCUAUCACUUAGGAUUGUUAGUGUUCUUUGUAUUUCUAUUUUUCAGCUCACUUAGCAGAGAACCAAUCCAUGUGAGUUCUGUAGUGCAAAGAGCCAUUGCUCUGUAUUCUGAUUCAGCCGUAGAUCUAGCAACUAAGCCUUGCUUUCUUGAACUCCAAGUAAUAAGGUUUCCACCCAAGAAUACACAAUAACCACUGAUAGAUCUCCUGUCAUCCAAGUCAUUUGCCCAAUCUGCAUCCGUGUAAGCUAUUAGAUCAAAGUACUCUGAUCUUUUGAAUUUCAGACACAUGUUCAUGGUGCUCUUGAGAUACCUCAACACUCUUUUGCAUGCUAUCCAGUGAGGUUGCCUAGGAUCAGACAUGUAUUGGCUAAGCUUGUUCACUGAAUAAGCAAGCUCAGGUCUUGUGAGUAUUGCAUACUGCAGGCUACCUAUAACACUUCGAUACAAUGUGGGAUCAUAAAAAUUUUCUCCUCCAUUUUUCUUUAGUUUCUCUGUAGUACUAAAAGGUGACUCAAUUCCUUUACAGUCACUCAUCUCUGUUCUGGCAAGCAGAUCUUGUAUGUACUUGGUCUGAGAUAACAUAAUGGCAUUUUGGUUUCUGUUCACCUGAAUCCCCAGAAAGAAAUUCAGCUCCCCCAAGUCUUUUAAAGCAAAUGCUCCAUUUAAAUUACUGACCAGCUCUUCAAUACUGCCACUAUUGUCACCUGUAAUGAUGAUGUUGUUAACAUAAAUCAGCAGUAUAACUAUCUCAGAUUUUGUUCUUCUGUAGAAUAGUGAGGUAUCACACUUGGAGUUUUCAAAUCCCCAAGAGUUCAAAGCACCCUUUAGUUUGUCAAACCAUGCCCUGGGAGUUUGUCUCAAACCAUACAAUGCUUUCUUUAAUCUGUAUAUGUGAUUAGGCUUACUUUUGUCCACAAAACCUUCAGGCUGUGGCAUGUAAACCAUUUCUGUCAGCUCACCAUUCAAGAAGGCAUUAUUUAUGUCUACUUACCUCAAACUCCAGUCAUUGUUUACUGCCAAUGUGAGGAUGAUUCUGAUUGUUGCAGCCUUAACAACAGGGCUAAAAGUUUAUGUAAAAUCAAUGCCUGGAAUCUGCAAAAAUCCCUUCACCACUAGUCUGGCCUUAUAUUUGUUUAUGGUUCCAUCUGGAUUCUCUUUGACUCUGUACACCUAUUUAUUUCCAAUCAACUUGCAACUUGAGUUACUUGGUACCAAGGUCCAUGUUUCAUUUUUCAGUAAGGCAUUGUAUUCAUCUUCCAUUGCCUCUUUCCAGUUUGGUUCUUUUAAGGUUUUUGAAGUGUUUAAGGGUAAUGCAGUCUGUGGUUGAGUAGAAACUUGGUAUAAUUUUGGUUUAAAGAUCCCUGCCUUAGAUCUUGUUACCAUAGGAUGUGAUGGUAUGGCUUCUUUUGUGUUUGGAGCUAUGAUAGGGGAUGAAGGUUGGUCAUUUUCUUGAGGCUGGUGAUUUGUAUGAGGAGAAGACAUUUGAUUAUUUGACAUCAUAUCAGUGCUCAAGUUCUGUUGUGUCUUACCUUGGUCAAGGUUCUGGAAUUGUUCUGAAGCUUCAGGGGCUUCCAGAGAGUGGCCUUGAUCAACUGCUGUCUGAGUGUUUUGAGGAGUAUCAAAAGAGAAUGACACGACCUGAAAUUUUUCUAAGAGAGUAAUAAAAUCACUUUGACUUGUGGACUCUUGUCUACUGAACUUGGUAUCAUUAGAGAAAGGAAAUGAGCUUUCAUUGAAUCUGACACUUGCAGAGAUAUAUGUUCUACCUGAGUGAUGCAUGCAAACAUAUCCCUUGUGAAUUAUGCUUAUUCCUAGCAAUGUGCAUUUGACAGUAUGGAAAUCAAACUUGUGUUUGUUAUAUGGCCUUAAAAAUGGAUAGCAUUCACAUCCAAAUACUCUGAUUUGUGAGUAAUUUGGUUUGCAAUGGUAAAGCAAUUCAAAGGGGGUUUUAUUUCCAAUGACAGGUGAGGCUAAUCUGUUGAUAAUGUAGGUGGCAUAAGUGAAAGCUUCUUGCCAGAAUUUUAAUGGCAUUUUAGCUUGUGCCAGCAAUGUGAGUCCAGUUUCUACCACAUGUCUGUGUUUUCUCUCAACCUUGCCAUUUUGUUCAUGUAGAUAUGGACAUGAUUGUCUCAAUGCUAUCCCCUCUUUGUCAAGAAAUGCUUUGAAUGGUUUAAAUUCUCCUCCCAUGUCUGUCUGUAAUGCUUUAAUUUUUAGAUUCAAUUGAUUUUCAAUUUGGCUUUUAAAGGUGAUGAAUGUAUUGAGAGCUUGGGAUUUUGUUGUCAAGGGAAAUAGCCAGGUGUAUCUUGUCAUAUCAUCCACAAAAGAUAUAUAAUAUCUAUGUCCAUGACUUGAGGGAAUUGGUGAUGGUCCCCAUAAGUCAGCAUGAAUCAAUUCUAAGGCCUUGCUGGUUUUAGUUUCUGUGCUUUUAAAGUUUUGUUUAGAUUGUUUUCCAUACUGACAUGCACAACAAAAUGAAGGAACAAAAUUCUUGUUUAUUUUGAACUGAUUGCAAGACAACAAGGUGCUUUUCAGAGCAGACUCAUUUGGGUGCCCUAGUCUGAGAUGCCAGAGAUCAAUGUCUUUCAAAGCAUUAUUGCUUGAUCUAUCAGUUUCAGAGGACUCAACACAAACAUUUGCUAACUUGACACUACUCAAAUUAAAUGACAACAUAGACACUGGAUUGCUGAUGCAAUUUAUUGACUCAGGCAUGAAGGAAGAAGAUAAGACAGCAGCAUAAGGAAUUUUGUUCCCACUCAGGUGAGUAGGUAAGCACAACAGUUCAUAAAGCCCCUCUCUAGCCACUCAUUUCACCAUAAUUUUCCCAUGUCUCUUGUCCUUGAUAAAACACACAGAUUUUUGAAAUUCGAUAUCAAUGUCAUUAUCAUGCAGUAAUCUGGAAAUGCUAAUGAGAUUUUUAGUGAUGCUUGGCACAAAUAAUAUGUCAUUCAAAGUGAUGUGUUUAUGUGGAUUUGAAGUGGAAAGCAUAGAGUUACCAAUAUGAGAAAUCAGGAGUUUUUCACCAUUUCCAACAGUUAGCUUUUCAUUACCUUGAUACUCAGAGUUGGUGUUUAUGUUGCUAAGGGCAUUUAUCACAUGGUUUGUAGCACCACUGUCCAAGUACCAGGCUCCACUGCUUUGGCCAUCAGUUGCAGCCACAUAUGCACCUCUUGGUUCCCUCCUUUGGCUUGGUUGUGGCACAUAAUUCUUUUUGAAUCUGUGCCAGCAAUUAGCAGCCGUGUGUCCCAUUUUCCAGCAAAUUUGACAAGGCCCCUUUGGAUUUGCACCAUCAUCAUCACUUACAGCUUUGCCCUUCCCUUUGUCAUGAGAGUUCUGAUUUCCUUGACCAUUACCAGAUCCAUUGCCAAGGGUUCUGAAGACUAUGCCAGGUUGAUAUUGAUUUCCAGCCCUGUUCUGGUUGUUCCAAUUCCUUCUCACAUUUCUCAUUUGUGUGUAGUUUGCUUCUAUAUUUCCUGAGCUUAGGUUGUGUUCAGUUCUGUUUUCUUGGCUGAGAAGCAUGCCAUAGACUUCAGAAUGUGAGGGACUUUCCUGCAUUGAAUUUAUGCUAGCAAUUACUGAAUCAUAUUCUGAUCCCAAACCAGCAAAUACACACAUGAUAAAGUCAUCAUCACUCAUAUUACUCCCUGCAGCCCUAAGAGUAUUUAAUAUAGACUUCAUUCUAGAGUAAUACUCAUGAAUGGUUAGUGAGCCCUUUUUGAUGGUCUGGAUUUGUGUUCUGAGAUGUAGGAUUCUAGCUCUAGAUCUUGCACCAAAUUGAUUGGAAAGAGUUGUCCACACCUCAAAGGAGGUGGAACAAUCCACCACAGUGCCCAGCACAUCCUCACUAAGUGAAGAUAACAACCAACUUGGGAGAAUGUGGUCCUGCUUUUUCCAGACUUGGUAAUUUGGGUUAGGUGUGGUGAUUAUUGUUUGAUCUUGUCCAAGGUUUAUGAAAACUCUAGGAGGGCAGACAUGGCUGCCAUCUAUGAACCCCUCAAGUUCAUUUGCUCUAAUGCUGGAAAUCACUUGUGAUCUCCAGAGCAUGAAAUUGUUUUGAUUUAGCUUAAUGGGAGUUGUGAACAUAUAUGUGCUGUUGGUAAUGUGUUGAGUGGGUGAAGGUGAGUUGUGACUUGAGUUUUGUUCAAUGUUUUGAGGGGUGUUUUGGUUUUCAUUUUGAUUCAAGUUUUCCAUCUGAUCGUUUUGGUUCACAUUUGCUUGUGUGCUGCUGCUGCUUGCCAUAGCUUUGAAGAUGGCUCUGAUACCAACUUGAAUUCCUUAGGAAUUGCUUUCUUUGGCAAGCAGAGCACAAGAAACCAGAAACUUAUAUUGAAAAUAAACUUGAAUUGAAUUCUGUUUACAGACCAUCAUCUAUUUAUACAUAAGAAAACAAAAGUGACAACUAGCUAAAAAUAACAAACUCAGAUAACACAAAAUAAUCCAGCAAUCAUUAGCCAAUGAUAUGAUGCUUCCAGAAUCUUCAUUCAUUUAUUCCAUGUGCUGGUAUUUCUCUGUGUAGCAGUUUUGCCACCUCAUUGAAGUUGCAUUAGCUGGUAAAUAGGUGUAGCUUAGGUGGCAUGCCAAUGUGUCACUGAGCUCAGCUGAUGAUUUGUCAUGGUCAUGGCUGCUAUCUUCAACACUAGUAUUCAAUUCUUCUCUGUCUUUCCGUAUGGUGCAGUGGAGUCAAAGCAACGAUUGCUGUACGUGGAGCGGUGUGGAUUGCGAUGAGGCUGGUCGCGUCAUUGGUCUCGACUUGAGCGAGGAAUCAAUCUCCGCUGGAAUUGACAAUUCAAGUUCCCUUUUCAGUUUAAAGUAUCUGCAGAGCCUAAAUUUGGCUUACAAUAGCUUCAAUGGAAGUCAAAUCCCUUCCGGAUUGGGAAACCUUACAAAUCUGACUUAUCUGAAUGUCUCCAAUGCUGGCUUCGCGGGGCAGAUUCCAAUUCAGGUUUCGGGGAUGACAAGGUUGGUUACUCUUGAUUUGUCAAGUCUGCACCGCUUCGGAGGUCCCUUGAAACUUGAGAACCCGAAUUUAAGUGGGCUCCUUCAGAACCUCGCAGAGCUCAGAGCACUGUAUCUUGAUGGUGUAAAUAUAUCAGCUCCUGGAAUUGAAUGGUGUCAGGCUUUAUCAUCUUUGGUGCCUAAACUGCGUGUUUUGAGCUUGUCCAGCUGUUACCUUUCAGGCCCUAUCCAUCCUUCCCUUGCAAAACUUCAGUCACUCUCAGUGAUUUGUUUGGAUCAGAAUGAUCUGUCGUCUCCAGUUCCAGAGUUUUUGGCUGAUUUCUUUAAUUUGACGUCCUUGCGCCUGAGUCAUAGUGGGUUGAACGGGACAUUCCCAGAAAAGAUAUUACAGGUACACACACUUGAGACACUUGACCUAUCAGGCAACAGUUUACUUCAGGGCUCUUUCCCUGAUUUUCCCAAGAAUAGCUCUCUUCGAACCCUGGUGCUCAGUAACACAAACUUCUCAGGUGUACUACCAGAUUCCAUAGGCAACCUUAAAAAUUUGUCGAGAUUAGAUCUAGUACGUUGCAACUUCAGUGGAUCAAUUCCCACCUCAUUGGCCAAUCUCACCCAACUAGUUUAUCUGGACCUAUCAUUUAACGAAUUUGUUGGUCCAAUCCCAUCUCUACAUAUGUCCAAAAAUCUCACCCAUCUAGACCUCUCAUGCAACGCUCUGCCCGGUGCGAUCUCAUCCACAGACUGGGAACAUCUCUCCAAUCUUGUUUAUGUUGACUUGAGGAACAAUUCAUCUCUCCAAUCUUGUUUAUGUUGACUUGAGUGGAAGCAUCCCAAGAUCUCUGUUUUCACUUCCAAUGCUACAGCAGCUUCAGCUUGCCAACAACAAAUUUGGUGGCCCAAUUCCCGAAUUUUCAAAUGCAUCAUACUCUGCACUUAGUACGCUUGAUUUAAGUGCCAAUAGAUGAGAAGGGCCUAUUCCCAUGUCCAUAUUUGAACUCAAAAAUCUUAAAAUCCUUAUGCUUUCUCCUAACAAGCUCAAUAGCACUGUACAGCUAGCUGCAAUUCAGAGGCUUGGGAAUCUUACUAGACUCGAGCUUUCAUACAACAACUUGACAGUGAAUGCCAGUAGUGAUUCUUCCUUCCCCUCACAGGUUAGCAGACUGAGAUUGGCUUCUUGCAAACUGAGGGUGAUUCCUGAUCUUAAGAAUCAAUCAAAACUAUCUUACUUGGAUCUUUCAGACAAUCAAAUAUAUGGGGAAAUACCAAAUUGGGUUUGGGAAAUUGGGAAUGGUAAUCUUGUACAUCUAAAUCUUUCACACAAUCUCCUGGCCAGUCUGCAAAGACCUUAUAAUAUUUCUGAUCUCACUUGCAUGACUGUCCUAGACCUACAUUCCAACCAGCUCCAAGGAAACAUACCUUAACCACCACCAUAUGCAGCCCUUGUAGAUUACUCCAACAAUAAUUUUACUUCUUCCAUCCCAGAUGACAUUGGUAAUUCCAUGAACUUCACUGGCUUUUUUUCCCUUUCAAGCAAUUCCAUCACAGGAGUCAUCCCGGAAACUAUUUGCAGAGCAAAAAAUCUAUUAGUUCUUGACCUGUCAAAGAAUAAGUUGAGUGGAAAAAUGCCAACUUGUUUGAUCAAAAUGAGUGAGAUUCUUGGUGUUCUAAAUUUGAGGGGAAACAGCCUCAGUGGCACUCUAUCUGUCACAUUUCCGGGAAAUUGUGGAUUACAAACACUUGAUCUCAACGAAAAUCAACUAGGUGGAACAGUUCCAAAAUCCUUGGCCAAUUGCAGAAAGUUGGAGGUUCUAGACCUCGGGAAUAACAAGAUCAGAGAUACCUUUCCAUGCUGGCUAAAGAAUAUCUCAAGUUUGCGUGUCCUAGUUUUGCGAUCGAACAGCUUUUAUGGGAGUAUUACUUGUCGAGAGAACGAUGACUCCUGGCCAAUGCUUCAAAUUGUUGACAUAGCUUCGAACAACUUUGGCGGAAGAGUCCCCCAGAAAUGCAUAACUUCCUGGAAGGCAAUGAUGUCUGAUGAAGAUGAAGCACAAUCAAACUUCAAACACCUCCAUUUUGAGUUCCUGAAGUUAAGUAAAAUGUACUAUCAGGAUGUGGUGACAGUUACCAGCAAAAGUCGAGAGAUGGAAUUAGUGAAGAUCCUAAGUAUAUUCACAUCCAUUGACUUUUCAAUGAACAAUUUUGAAGGGCCAAUACCAGAAGAGAUAGGACGACUCAAAUCGAUUUACGGUCUGAACUUGUCACAAAAUGCUUUUACGGGCCCCAUCCCAUCAGCUAUUGGAAACUUGCAACAGCUUGGGUC